UUUUUUCAGGUUUUUCUUCUCCGAGAGGAACUCGUCGAAUAGCACUUCGUUUUUUAAGCUUUUACUUUCUCCUUCUUCUUACGCUUUGUCUGGUUUUGCUUUCUCUCGACUUUACGAAACGAAGGCUCUCUGCCUUCCGAAAAUGUUAUUUGAUUUUUGAAUGCAACAGUAGCCCAGCCUGCCUCUGUAUUGAAACUUAACUUUAUACGAAGUGCAAAACAAUAAAUUCUUACGCUUGGAACAAUAAAUAUACAAGUUAAAUUUUCUUUAAGCCCUUGAACCUUUUUUUUUUUUUAGAAUUUAAAAAUAUAAGUCUCAUUGUUUGAUUCUGAUGCAUGUGUUUUAAAAGGAUUAUACCUUACUAUUUUCAUCCGAGGGCACUUGCUUGCCAUUAGCACUUUUCUAGUUAUAUCCAAACUUGUUAAGUAUGACUCCUAUUUCAGUCCAAUUUGAGAAAUAAUCUUCUAGUUAAACUCUGUUUAUUUGUUUCAAUCAAACACUGAUUAGUUUAAAUUGUUUUAUUAUUAUUUGACAUAUGAAUUUAACUUAUAAAUAGACUCUUUUACAACCUUAGAAAAUACACUCACUAGAUAUUAGAACUCAUAACACAUUUAGAAAAUUUUGUGUUUACGCUUUAAGAGUUAUUUGUUUUCGAGUUUUCGGAGUUUAAUUUGAUCUUCAUCUUUUUUUGUAAUCUUCAUUUUUUUUACCAUUAUAGUAAAAUUAUCUUUGCCCGUAGUUUUUUAUCCUCUUUGGAGGAGUUUUUUUACGUUAAAUUUGUAUGUUCAAUUUCUCAACUUCUUCCGUUAUUUUUACUUGUUCCUUGCUUAAUCAAGUCAAUAUCCAAUAAGUGGUAUCAGAGCCAGUUUAAUUUUUAUGAAUUAGCUCAUUCAGAUAUGGCAACAACAUGGUUUAAAAUUAAGAAGUUCGAUGGUUAAAUUUCAAUCUGUGGCAAGUUCGGAUGAUGGCAAUUCUAUCAAUCCGAAUUGAAAAAGGUUGUUACCGGGAAAAAGCCUGAGAAUCUAAAUAAAACAGAAUGGAAAGAGCUUGAUGAAAAGGAUUUGUCUACAAUCCAGUGUUGCCUCGCGAAUACGGUAUUGCAGAAGGUAUUGAUGGAGAAGACCCCAUCUGUCUUAUGGAAAAGGUUAGGAACUCUUUAUGCAACUAAGUCUCUGGCUAACCGUUUAAUGCUGAAACAACAUUUAUUUACGUUUCACAUGAACGGGGGUGAGCUUUUUAGAGAUCAUAUCAGUCAAUUCAUUACUCUUUUAAAUAAUUUAAAGAACAUUGGGGUUCAUAUUGAUGAUGAAGAUCAAGCUAUACUAUUAUUGUGCUAUUUAUCCCCUUCAUACAAGUCUUUCAGGGAGACCCUGAUUUAUGGCAGAGACAAACUCUCGUUCGAAGAUGUGAAGGGUCAUUUGUUGAGUAGAGACAAACUCGACAAUGAGCUUCAUUUGGAUAGCAAGGCAGGUAGGCAAGCUUCUGUUUUGAUAGCAUCAAAGAAACGAGACAAAAGGUGUCGUUAUUGUAAAAAGUUAGGUCAUGUCAAAGCAGAUUGUUAUAAACUGUAAAAUAAAAUAGCUGCUGAGAGUAACGAGGAAGAUGUAGCUGGUGCUAAUUUGGCCGAUAAAAGCGGUGAUGACUUUUUGUUAGUGUCAAUGAGCGAUAACUUCAAGUUCACGUCCGAGUGGAUCCUAGAUUUAGGAUGUUCUUUCCACAUGUGUCCCAAUAGAGAAUGGUUCUCCACAUACAGUUCGGUUGAAGGUGAAGUUGUAUGCAUGGGAAACGAUUCAUCUAGUAAGGUAAUUGGUAUUGGUACUAUUAAAAUUAGGAUACAUGAUGGGACGAUUAGGACACUCUCAGAUGUCAGGUAUGUACCUGAUUUACGAAAGAAUCUCAUCUCAUUGAGUAUUUUAGAAUUGAAAUGAUGCAGAAUAAACAUCGAGUCGAGUGGCAUUAAAGUAUCUCGUGGAGCUCUCGUUUUGUUAAAAUGUAAAAGAAUUGACAACCUUUAUAUUCUGGAAUGUUGUACAAUGACUGGUGAAAUCAGAUGUCCUUCAUCUAUUACAGAGUCAAAGUCAACUCGUUUGGAGCGGAGGCAACUUGGUCAUGGGAGGGAAAAUUGUAUGACCGUUUCGUUGAAGAAAGGUUCUCUUUUAGAUACAGGUUUUGAAAAGUUAGGGCACUGUGUUCGUGAAAAUCAGAUCCAGGUUAGUUUUGAUUUGGUAGUGUACAAGUCGAAGGCUAGAAGUCUUCUAGUUUCUAAGCACAGAUUCGACUCAGUUAAGUUAAUUUUUUGCAUAGUUCAAGAUAGGCUCGUGGCGAGCUUUGGCAAAAAUGGCGUUGUAGAAAUAUGAGUUAAGGUGGAGAUUUGUUAAGUAUUACUCCUAUUUCAAUCAAAUCUGAGAAAUAAUCUUCUAGUUAAACUCUGUUUAUUUGUUUCAAUCAAACACUGAUUAGUUUAGAUUGUUUUAUUAUUAUUUGACAUAUGAAUUUAGCCUAUAAAUAGGCUCUUUUACAAUCUUAGAAAAUACACCCAUUAGAUAUUAGAACUCAUAACACAUUUAGAGAAUUUUGUGUUUACGUUAUGAGAGUUAUUUGUUUUCGGCUUUUCGGGGUUUAGUUUUUAUCUCCAUCUUUUUUUGUAAUCUUCUUUUCUUUUACCAUUAUAGUAAAAUUAUAUUUGCCCGUGGUUUUUUAUUCUCUUUGGAGGAGUUUUUUCAUGUUAAAAUUGUGUGUUCAAUUUCUCAAUUUCUUCCGCUAUUUUUACUCGUUCCUUGCUUAACCGGGUCAAUCUCUAACAAAACUAAUAUUUAAUGCUUUUAGAAAGAGAAUCAACUCUUUUCGAGAGAAGUCUUCGAAGCGUCGUCUUUCAGACAACUAAUUUGAACCUUUACCAAUUGAAUGAAUUGAUCUUGUGUCAAGGUCUUGUCCCCAGCUGCAAUGAAGAGUCGUGUACAAUUCACGAAUAAAAGCCAUGUACAUGCAAGACUCAAGAAAUAUGUUAGUAUUGAGCAUGUGAAUAAUAAUGGUGGUACCUAGGUUCGAGCUACGGUGCUCCCAGGUACCUCCAUUAUUAUUCACACGCCCAAUAUUAACACCUUUAUCAAGUUUUGCAGGUACCUAUCUCCACCAACCAAGACGCCCCCAUCUACGAAUUAUACACGACUCUCUAUGGAGGUUAUGGAUAAAAUCUUGACACUGAGACAAUACCUUCGAUUGUUAGAGGUCCGAGUAGGAUGCCCGGAGGACGGCACUUUAAAGACUUAUCCCAAAGGGAGUCAAUGUUGGAUCCGGUGCCCUGAGUAUAGUAUUUUCGUCUAUUUGCACUUGUAAUUUUUUCAAAUAGAUUGGUGAAUAAAAUUAUUCAUGAAUUACAUUAAUACUCUGUGUAAAUUGUUCUCAUGUGAUUUUUGCAUGUAACACAAAAUAGAAACAAAUUUUAGCUAGUUAAUUAUCUAAUGUUUAAACUAAUACUAAGUAGUAUUACGUGGUCAGGUCGUAAUAAGGAAAGACAACUUAUAUUAGUAGACAAACCUAAACAUAUUAUUAGUCUAAUCGGAAAUGAGCAAACAAAUUAAAAGACUAAUAUGAUGUCUAUCAAGUCCAGUUAAGGAGAUGUUUUGUCUUAGGCAUCAAAGUGGAUGACUCUUGAAAGAUAGAGACAUAAAUGUGAUUGACUAGAUUGACAGUACAUUGGAGUAGACCCAAGAAUAAUAUAUCCUAAAUUCGUUUAUGGAUUUAUUCACUUGUGACAUUCAAAGUGUGGCAUACAUUAAUCUUGAGUAGAUGGCAGACUAUAUAUGCAUAACUCGUAUACUUUAAUAUAAGUAAAUGUCUGAGUUUAAAUAGAUAAUGAAUCGAAAGUCGAUGUGUUGGGUAUAUGACUUUUGCAAUAUGUAAAGUCAUUUACGAUAGUGGAAUUCAUAGCUCGAGAUACGGGUAAAUGAUAUCCUCUUAUUGGCAUUACAUGAUUGAUGAAAAGUAAACGUGGUCACGAGUUGUUCGUCUUUGUGAUGAAUGACUUGAUUAAUAUUUAAUAAAAUUUGACUUUUCAUGAAAAAAGAUGUAAUGGUUACCAUGAGAUAAAAUAGGAUUAUAUCGGGAGAACGAGUUUAUCCCAAAUAGAUUAAGGAUAUCCCAUGAGGUAACACACUAAUGACAAUGUCAUUGGACGAGUACUAAUCGAAUUGCUUCUGUAAUGGUAUGUCAUUGGGAAGAGCGUAGUCAUGAUACUUUAGUGGAAUGACUUCAUGACUAAAUAAGUUUAUAAUUAAUAGGUGAAAAGUUGGAAUUUAAUUAUAAAUCACUCGAGCCUUGAUCGCAUAUAUCCAGUCGGUCCCUCCGCUAGUUCAUUGAAAUCAGAAAUGAAAUGCAUGUUGAAUCAAAUGAAUAGAAAUAGAUAAAAAUGGAAAAAAUGGAGAAAUGAGAAACAUUUGAAAAUAUAUAUGGUUUUCUCCAAAAUGAGAAUGAAAAUGACAUUUUCGAAUUAAAUAAAGUUCGAAAAUGGAAAUAAAUUGUUUCGCCAUAAUAAAUUCGUUGAAUCUAGAAAUAUUAAAUAUAGAUUUUUUUACGGUAAAAUGGUCAUGAUUUUAACGAAAUUAGAUUUGGAUUGAAAAAAUUAUUUAAUUGAGAUGUUUAUUUUGGGAAAUAAAAAAACAAAAAUCAGGUUGAAUCGAAUUAUAAAAUAAUAAGUUAAAAGUCCAAGAAGUAUUUAUACUUGGACUUGAUAUGGGAGAUGCCCAAAAGUCCCUCAUGUUUAAGAGGGGGACGACAAACCCUAGUUUGUUUAAUUAGGGUUGCCGCCCCACCUACUCCUAGCUCAACUAAUAGUAUGUUUUUCUAUUGAAAUAGACUUUUACAAUUCAACAAAUGUUUUACCUCUUCUCCUUAUAAAUAGAUGGUAAUGAUAGAGCUAGAUAUACAAUUUGAAGAUAUUGUUACUUAGCCCAAAAAUACUGAGAGUUUAUUAUCCAAGUAUUAAAUCUAUUUUCUGAAAUAACAAUUCUACCGGUUUUUAUUGAGAAGAGAUUUUGCUUUCACACUGGAAGUAAAGAAAAUUAUUUAUGGUUCUACGUUUAAUUCGAAUCGUUCGAGCUCAAACUCGAAGUAGUUUGUGGUACUAUAAUAAUGGAGAAGACUGUUUUUUGCUAGCCGAAAACACAAGUGUGAUUUCGGUAAAAGGUUUUUUUGCUAUAAAUAUCACAAUCCAUCUUGGUUUUCAAAACAAAUCCAUUGUGCAAAAAAACCAAUUUCAAAUCGUAUUUUUUCCAGCAGUCGAUUCUCCCUUCAACAAUGUCUAAAUUGAUAGUCAAACUAAUGAAAUGACUAGAUCAAUACAAUAUCGACACUCUGAAUAUAUCUAAUAUCUAAUACUUAUAUUAAGCACAUUACCGAGUCGCUAUCACAUUUACCUGAGUCAAAAACUUAGUUAUGAAAUUACAGAAGUAUCACUUCUUUUAAAUUAUAACUAACAUUAUUAUUAUGUUACUUUUGUCUUCCAUUUCUAAAUAAAACAAUUGAAAAUUACAAAUUCAAUAAUCAAACAUGUGUUUAAUAUUAUUAUAUUGCAUAUAAUCAUUAUUAAAAGAAAAUAAUUUUAAAAUAAAAUAUGUUAUUUCACCCAGAUAAAAUCUAGUUUAAUUAAAACAUUUUAAAUUUUUGAGGAAACAUUUAUAUUUAUUUUUUAAUUUAAUUUUAUAACAAGGGUUGGAAUUUUUAUUUUUAAUUUUCCAAUAGGAUAAAAUAAAAAAUAAAAUGAAAUAUUUUAAAGGGUUAAUGCCAUAUGAGAAGUACCUUUCAUAUUUCAAUAUUUCAUAAUAUGGGCAUGACAAGAGAGAAAAGAGGAGAGCAAAAAUUGGAUUUAAAACGUGUGAUCACAUGACAUUGAUGUCUUUCAACUGACUUCCCAUCUACAUCUUAAUUUUCAUAGAUACACACCGCUCCUUACUCUCUCCUUUUUUUAAUAUUAAUUUUCUCUCUCUUACCAAAGCAAUCUCUUAACCUUUUUUAUUUUUAAUUUUUUAUUAUCCAAUUAGAUGAUCAAUACUCACACGUACAUGAUUGAGACAUAUUCACAUUAUUAGGCCCAUACUACAUCUAGAGGUGCUCAUGAGUCGGGCCGGGUCAGGCCCAGGAAAACUUUUGGUCUGCGUCUUAGGCCUGGGCCCAGCCCAGCCAAAAAUAUGGACCUAAAAUUUUGUCCAGGCUCAGCCCGAAUAAAAUUCUUAAGCUCGAGUUCGGCCCGGCCUAUUUUUUUAAUAAACACUAAAAAUUUAUUUUAAAAAUAAAAAAUAAAAACGUAUUUUAAAAAUAUUUUAAAAUUAAAAAAUAAAAAUAUAUAUUUAUUAUAUUCGGGCCGGGCAGGGCCCGGGCCAAAAAAGUGAUACCCGAGGCCCGGCUCGUUUUCUAACGGGCCUCUUUUUUUGCCCAAACUCAUAUUUCGUGCCUAUAUUUUUACUCAAACCCUCUCAUAUUUCGGGCGGACUGUCGGGCUGAGCCGGGCCGCCCAGCCCAUAAGCACCGCUAACUACAUCCAAAGAUAAUUAUCUACAUGAAAGUCUACUAUUUAUUUAUUUUAGGGAUCAAAUUUGAAUUAUAAAUUUUUGAAUGAAUUAAAAAUAAAAAUUUAUCAUUAUAUUAAUAUAAAAUUAUACAAUUAUAAAAUUUUUAUUUUUAGAUAGCGCAUAAUUAAAUUUUAAAAUUUAAGAAGGAUUGAAAUAUAAUUUCACCAUUAAAUUAACUUAAAACAUUGCAACUACCCCACAUUUGCUCCAUCGGAAGCUCAAACCUAAAUAAAUUUUACAGGUAAACAUUUGUUGAUCAGUGGGCCAAACACAAGGGUUAAACUUUUUAUUUUCAAUUUAAAAUUAUGAUAAUAAGUCUCGCUUUAGUUUGUAAAAACAUUUCUUUAUUUUUAAUUUUAUUUUAAAAUAUUAUUUUAAAAUUUUUAUUUUUUAUAAUUGAAAAACACAUUAGGUAAAUCCAAAUAAAAAAAUUGUUUUCAAUGAUUCAAAAAAAAACAUGUUUGGCACUUGUUUUGUUAUAAUAGAAGCAUGAAAAUAAAAUAAUUAUUACAUUUAUAGACAUUUGAACUAGAGAAAAAUAUUUUAUAUUUAAAAAUUGUUAAGAAAAAUAAUAUUUUUACUUUUAUAUUAGUUUUAAAAAAGUUAAUACCGUUGAUUGAAUUUUAGCUCGAUUGGUAUGUGUAUUGUUGCCAAUAUAAGAGGAUAUGGGUUCGAGUGCGCUGAAGCACAUUGUCUUCCUAUUUAUGAGUUAUAGAAAGACUAUAAAUAGUUUUAAACAUUGUGUAAAAAAAAAAAAGAAGCAGAUAUUGUUAAAUAUUAAUAAGUUAGUUCAAUUGAGUAACAUUCUUAAAUAUUGUGUUAACUUAGAAAUUAGAAGUUCAACAAAUUAUACACAAAAUUCAACGGUUCAAUAAUUUAUAUGCAACAUAUUAACAAAAAUUGUUGCUCAACUUCAUGUGUUUAUCAAUAACUAAACUAAUUAUUUAGUUUAUUUAAAACUAGAUGGACUAAAUUAUUAAUUUGCACAAAGUGAAAGGAUGAAAGAGAGAAUUAAACUUAUUAGAUUAAGUACGGUCGAAUUUGAAAAAAAAAUGUUGAUUUUAAAAAUUAUUUAGGGUUUUGAGUCGAUUUAUGAUAUAUUUAGAGAAAUAGGCUAAUUUUAAAAUGAGAAGUGAAAAUGUGUCCUACAGGACACACUUUCUGACUUUUUAACACGUCAACUCCUUUGGUCAGAUCGUUAAAUGUAGAUGGUUUUGUCUUUAAGUUCCAAGUUCAAUUUUUCUCCCACUUACAUUUUUUAUUUCAUUUAUUUCAAGCUUUACUUUUAUUUUUAAUUACUACUUUUAACACGUUAGUUUCAUUGGUUAGAUGGUCAAUUAAUAGUUAUUAUAUCCUUGAAUCUCAAGUUCAAUUCCUCUUCUAAACGUAAUUGUAUUUUUUAUUUUAUAUUGUUUCAAGUUUUUUUUCUUAUUUUUUAAUUAAUAGGUAUAUCGUUUUCAAGUUUUUUAUUUUUAAUUCAUCUUUUUAAUUAAAAACAUAUGAAAAAUCAACUUAUUUCCCUGAAUAUCCCAAAAAUCGACCCAAAAUCCUAACUAUUUUUUUUAAAAAUCAGUUUUUUUUUUCAAAUUUGACCAAGUAAAUGUAACACCUUUCUCAUGGGAUGCUACACCAAACAACAAGUCAAGAAUUUGCAAUUUCAACUCAAAUUUUAAUUUAGUCAACCAUUAAUAAAUAUUCGAUAAUGAUACUAAUUAUACAAAAAAUGAGACUUAAAUCGAGCCUCAAGAACUCUAAAAUCAAUUUAAAAACGAGCAGGAACUAAUUUAAAACAAAACAGAAAAAUGAGAUAAAAAUAGAAAAUAAUGAUCACACCACCAAACAUUUUUAAUAUAUAUAUAUUUAGUUGAUAUUAUGAAUAAUAUUGCAAAGGGUUGUUUUAACAUUUUGAAUACUCAUAUUUUAGUAACAUCUUAUAAAAAAAAAUUGUAAAUUGCACCAAACGUUCCCAAACUAUUAUUUACAUUUUAAUUUGAUCUUUGAACUUUAAAAUGUCCUAAUUACAUCUCUUUGAAUUAUUGAGGUUAUAUCAAUCAAGCUUUUUUCGUUAUUCAAAUUGUUAGUUUCAUUGUUAGGUGAACAUUAGAUCCCAUGUAGCAUAACUUUUUUUAAAAAAAUUUUAAAUUAUGCCACAAAAGAUAUGAUGUGUCACUUAAUGGGGAAAUUAACGGUUUUAGUAAUGGAGGGACUUGAUUGAUAUAAUAUUGAUAGUUUGUAGGAUGUAAUUAGAAAGUUUUAAAGUUUUUGGACCAAUUUAGAAUGAAAAUAAUAGUUUGGAGGCGUUUGUUACAAUUUAAUUAGAGUUGAGUUAAUUUAUUCAAUUCAGACCGAUUGAGCUUUUGUUCAAUUGAUAUCAUUGCUAUUGCAACAACUAAAAAGAAGAGAGUUCGAAUCCGAUUUAAAAGCCAGGAGUGAUUAUAGACAUAAACAAACAUUACUUCAAAAAGAAAAAUCAAUUCAAUAUUUAUAAUGAUUAAUUCUAAUUAAAAUUGUUAAUACAAUUAAUUAAAUUGUUUAAUCACUUAACAAUGUUGUAAUUUUACUUGUAAAAAAAGUAAGAGUUGAAUAUAGACACGAACUUUAUGUUUUGGAUAUAAUGAAAUAGCGUAGUCAUUAACAUCUCUAAUGGCCGACUGUGGGUCAGUGGAGGCGCGUAAGCAGGUGGACAAGGUGUGCGGCAUGGACUAAAUACGCCUCAACCAUGCUGCCGCCCAUGCCUGGCUGGUCGGCCGACACAUGCGGCCCAAAAAUAACGGUUCUUCUCAAGUUUUCUUUCGGUCUUAGGUGUGGGGUUAUUAAUCAUUAAAAAAUUAAAAUUCACAAUGAAAAUGCUCCAGAUUGAAUCCAAGUUCUCGUGCUUACAACAUAAUAUUUUACGUAAAAAUGUUGUUAGCAUUUAAAUUCUAUUAUUAUUAUAGGUAAGUCGUGAAAAUUAACAUUUAUAAAUUUGAUUAUUUUUAGUUAUUUUCAUUUUUGAAUUCGAAAUUCUAGUUGUCGCUACAAGUGUUUAUAAGUUGGGUAGAGACUAAAUUCCAAAAAACAAUUCAAGACUUAAGCUCGGCUUGUUGAAUAGACCCAUUCUAUUGUUCAAAAUAAAUAAAAAGUACUUUUUUAAAAUUUAAUUAUAAAAAUAUGAAUAUGAAUAUCUUUUAUAUUUUAUAAACAGUAAAAUAGGGUGAGUCACUCGCGGUUGAAAAAUAUAAACCCAAGCCCAAUUCAAAGCAAAAUUAUGUGAAGUCCGAAAUCUUAUGCGACAAAUAUAUUAUUAUGCGAGUAAUUCUAUGUUAACUUGUUAUAUUCAUGUAUUACGAGUGAUGGAUCCCAGGACUAAAUUUUCGCGCUAGUAAAAUUCAAAAAAAUUUAGGAGUUUAAUAACAAAAUUUUAAAAAAAUUACGUCUAAUUAAAAUUUUUUAAAAUUUUUGUGAGAUUAAUGAGAAAUUUCAAAAUUCUAUAAGAUCCUAAUUAGAAAAUUUCAAGAGAAAAAUCAUAAUUUCCUUAGACCUUUUAAACAUUUUGUCUCGGCAUAUUAUCAAAAAGAAAUAGUUAUUAAAUUUAACUAUUAUCGUUUGUGUUAAAAUUAAAAUUUCAAAUUUCAAAAAGUAUAAAGAUUAUUAUGAUGCAUUUAUCACUUGUCUAUUUUCAAUAAAAGGACCAAAAUAUAAUCUAAAAUAUAGUAUAUGAACGGUUAUGGUAGUUUUUACAUUUUUUUAUUUUAAAAAACCCCUUUCUUGUUGUUACAUGUACGUGUAAUAAUUUUUAAUAAAACUGAACCACCAAUUGCAGUUAGAAUAAAGUUUACAUUUGAUUAAUAUUUGGGUAAACUAUUAAAAUAGUCAUUUUUGUUUGUCUCAUGUUAUAUUUUAGUCAUUUAUAAUUGAAAUGUUAUGUUUUAGUCAUUUACGUUAUCGUAUUAUAAUAUUUUAGUAACUGAACGUUAAUUGUCAUUAAUAGUAUAACGGUAGGCUAACGUCGCACGUUAAGUCAUAAUUUCAAAUAAAAAUUUUAGGUUAAAUUAUACAGAUUGGUCCUUAUAUUUUCUCGUUCUGAGCAAUUUAUUUAUUUAUCUUUAUUUUCCAUUUUCUUCUCUUUCUCCCUCUGUUUUCCUCCCUUUUCCAUUUAUUUUAACGUAGUUUUUUUAUAUUUUCCAUUUGUUAAAACUUUUUUAUGAGAACCAAUUGUAUAAUUUAACCUGAAAUUUUUAUUUGAAAUGAUGAUUUAGCGCGUUACAUCAACUUACUGUUAUACCGUUAACGACAAUUAAUGACUCGAUAACUAAAAUAUUACAUAUAAACACAAAUAACUAAAACGUAACAUGAAAUAAAUAAAAGUGACUAUUUUAAGAAUUUACUCUUAAUAUUUUGAGCAAACUUCUGUUUUUGGUUGUUUUAUGUACGUGUACUAAUUUUUAAUAAAUAAAUAAAUAAAAGAGGAAACUUUGUCUUAAACGUAAUUAAAACUGCUAAAAGCGAUAUUACACUUUAAUAAUUAAGAAUCAGUUCAAAUUAAGAAUCGAGUUAAUCCAUCAAAUCGGUUUGAAUUUUAAUAAUUUAAAAAAGCUAAUACCUGUUAUGACAAAAAGUGGACACGUGUUUAUCAACCGAAAGAAGACAUGAAAGGUCUGUCAUGUUCUGGCAAAGAGGCUAUUACGUGUCUUGUCCUCAAAUAGAUAUCUGUAUUGCGGUCUCUACAAGAAAAGGUGUCACCCACUUUCUUUCUUUUUUUUUUUUAACUAAUUAAUUGUUUUUUUAAAUUUAUUUUAAAACGACUUUAUCUUAAUAUUACUCCUCGAAUAAAUCGGAUAAAGAUAUUUAGAGUUUGAGUCAAAUUAUAGGGUUUAAAACAGUGAGUGAUGGAGUUGGAAAUUUUCUUUUGGGCCAAAAUUAAAUAGUAUAUUUUUAUAAUGGUAAAAAUAUAAUUUUAUUAUUUUAAUAGUCUAUAUCUUUACAAUUUUUAAAGAAUCAAAUCAAAAUUUUAUCAUUUUUUAGAGUGACAAAGUGUAAAUUUACUAUUACUAAUCUAAAAUUUUAUAAAUUAUAAAGAGCCUGAAUGAAACUUUUUUCAUUUUAAAAAGGUGGGCCCCGACCAAACCCCAUUGGACAAGGCUCCGAUCCCCUCAAAAUGAAAACUUUUUUCAUUUAGACUCAUUUAUAGUUUAUAAAAUUUUAAAUUAGUAAUGAUAAAUUAUACUUUAGUCCCCAAAAUGAUAAAAAAACGAUUCAAUUCAAUUUUAUGGUUUAUAAAAUUUUAAAUUAAUAAAAAAAUACACGAUUUAAUUCUGCUCCCCUCAAAAAAUUUUCUGACUUCGCCCCUAAAUUAAUAAUGAAAAUUUUCAAUUCAAUUGAGUUCGUUUAGAAAUAAUAAAAUUACAAAAUUAUACUUUGUCUCUUCAAAUUAAAAAUAUAUAUAUUUAAUCCAUUUAAAAACAAUAAAAAUUUAAAUUAAUUUUUAUUAAAAUUAUAUUUUAAUCUCUCAAAAAUUUUAUAAUUUUACUCGAUUUAAUAUAUGUUUGUACUUGUUUAUUUGUUUUAUGUUGAUCCAAGCCUUUUUGUUUUUGUUUUGAGAAUUAUUAAUGUAAUAUAAAUAAUAAAGUGGCCCGUGGGUUAUAAAAAAAAAAAUGAAAAUGAAAAUGAAUCUAUAUAUGUUCUUUUUUCUGCUUAAAUAUAAAAUUGAUUCUCAAGUCAUAUUGUUUUUUUUUUAUUUAAAUAUUUAUUUAUUUUUAUUAAAAGUGGUAUCUAAAUUAUCAAAUUUAUUUUUUAUUUAUGUUAUUCAUAUUUAUUUUACGGUCUAUUUUCGAGAUUUAUGAUUAUUCAUUUCAACAAUAUCAUAUCCAAUGUUCAAACUCGCAUUCUCUUAUUAGAAGUGUAAUAUGUCUUAUCAUUACGUCCAACACUUGUUUAUAUAAAUUUUGUUUUAUUUUACUAAAUAAUAUAUGACGUUUAGUAAGAAUUCGACGUGUUGUGCUUUUAUUAGUCGGUAUUAUAUUAUGGGAUAAAAUGAAAUAAAAUUAAUAAUUUAAUUAUCACUUUUGAUAAUAAUAAAAAGUAUCUAAGUAGAAAAAAAAUAUGGUUUGAGAGCUAAUAUUGCAUUUAAGCCUCUUUCUCUCCUCACUUUAAAUGAUAGGGUUAAUUGCAUCAGGGGUCUCAAAAGUCCAAAACUAUGCUAAAUUAUAAAUAGGUCCCAAACAUCAAGAUAUUUUAAUUGGGGUUUUCAAGUUCUAAUAUUAUAUUAACAAAUCUUCUUAUUAGCUUAACUAUCAACUUAGAUGUUAAAUUCUAACUCGAAAACAAUAUUGGAUCAAAGUUGUUUAUAUCGAGUUACUUGUUUUAAAAAUGUUUUACAUAAGAUUCCAGCUUACAUAGUUUAACAACCAAGUUGAUAGCUAAGCUAUAAAUAAUACUUAAUGGGUAUAACAUUGAUACUUGAAGAACUCGAUCAAAACGUUUUAAAGUUUAAAAAUUAACUUAGAAUCAAUAUCACGGUUUGGGAACGUAUGAUAUAAUUAACCCUAAAUGACAAUAAUUCACUUACACUAGUGUAAAAUUUUUUAAUAUAAAAGUUAAUAUAUUUAUUUAAUGAUAGAGAUAUCGGAUUAAUUCGAAAACUUGUAUGCACAACAAAUACAAUUGUAUUGAUAGAUUCAACGAUUUGGAUUGUUGAAAUACCAGUCGUACAAAAAGUUAUCGAAUAAUGUAAAACUAGUUUUACACUAAUAUAAAUGGAUCCUCCUAUAUAUAUAGGAGGAAUUCACUUGUAUCGAUGUAAAAUUGAAGUAGUUUACGCACAUUUUCUACGAUUAAUAUUUUAACAAUUCAACCGUUAAAUAUAUUAAUGUAGUUGUACUUGUCAUGCAUAUAAAUUUUCUAAUUGAUCAAAUCUCUCUAUCAUUAAAUUAAUAUAUAUUUAGUGGUUGAAUUGCUUUUUUUUUUACGUAAAACAUAAAGUUAAGACAAUUUUAAUUUACUCAAAUAUUUUACAUGCACGACCUACAUAAAUGAAACAUAAAAAAGUGUUAUACACUGGUAUAAAUGAAUUUAGUAAAAGUACCAUGGAGACUCCUGUAUUAGCAAUUGAUUUGUAUUUUGCCCCCUCUACUAAACAAAUGGGCAAAUUAGUCAUUGUAGGUUAGAUCAAAGAGCAAAUUGAUCAUUAUGUUAAAAAAUUUCUUUCAUUUCUAUGAUUAGGUGAUGACACAUUACUGUCCAGUUAUUGGAAUUAGUCCCUCUAUGCCAUAAAUUCCAUCCAUUUCACUUUUUAAUAAAAAAACUGAUCCAUUUCCGCCGUUAAAAAAUCUCAUCCGUCAUGCUUGAAUUAAUCUAUUUAUAUUAGUAUGAGGUACACGUAACACGCCAAUUGUCACUAUUUUAUUUAUCCAUUAGCCAUAUUAGCACGUUUAAUCUCAUUAUAAGUUAUUAUCAUAUCCGUUUUUUUAAUACAAUGCUUAGAAUUACCCCUAGCCCUCCCAACCCAUAAAUAAGAAAAUAAUAGUAUAAUACAUUUUAACGCACUCGAACUUACGUUUGCCUCCGCCGACAAUAUUCCUACUCUUAAUAAAGUUACAUGCAUAGGACUUUUAUUCAUUUAUAUUUAUAUUUGGCCGACAAUCCAAGUUGCAGAUUUUUGAGGAAAAAAGGAUAAAUAGUUAGAAUAUUUUUAUUUAUUAUAUUUUUCUUGGUUGAAAAAGCAAUUCCUUUUCUGGUGUUAGAUUCUAUUCGUUACAACUGGGGCAACCACUUUAGACUCUAAGAAGCUACCGUGUGAUAAUAAUGUAUAUUCACCAGAAAAGGUCUUCGAUCUUAAUCUUAAUUUAUCAACGAAUCCGAGCCAUGAUUUUAUUCCCCAGUAAUUUUCAAAAUAGAUGUAAAAAAACAUCGUAUGGAACCUAAUAUCUCCAUCACACACGAGAGUAUUCUCGUACGUAAAAAAUAUCGUAGAAGUUCUUAUAUUACAAGUCGGAUGAUAUUCUGUUUUUCCUAUUUAAAAAAUAGGCAAAUUCAUCUUUAUAUGUUAGAUUCAACCGUUCAUUGGUCCAUUUGUUAAAAAUUUCAUUCAAUUUUACUUUUAAUAAUUGGUCCAUGCAGGUCAGUUUAAGGUACAGUGGCACGUUGCUAUGUGUAACUGUUUGGUUAUUUCAUCAACCACACAGGUUUUUAACAAUAAAAAUGGAUGAAACUUUUAACAGAAAUAACUGGUUUGCUCUUUAAUCUAAUGUACAAUGAUUAAUUUACUUAUCUUUUGAGUAAAUGAGACAAAAAUAUAACCUAACUCAUAGUAUAAGAGCUUCCAUGGUACUUUUACCCUUUUCUUCUGAUAAAGUUUAUUUCGGAUAUUAAAUUUAUUACUCAAUUGGGAUUAGAAUUAGAUAUGAUCCACGUGUUUAGAAAAUACUCAAUCUCAAACUCAAAUUGGUAUUUAACACUUAAAACGAGGUUUAGGCUAAUAGAAUGAUUAAUUGGUAAAAUACUAAAUUUCUAAUAUUUGAGGACUCAAUUAAAAUGUUUUGAGAUUUAAGGAUCAAUUUGGCAUAUAAAUGAUAGUUUGAUGAUGUUUGGUGAAUUAACCCCAUUUUUGUUAAUUUCGGCUUGUUUGACUUAUCCUCUUGAUUAGACUUUAUUGGACUUGGUGGCCAAUGAAGAAACUAGAAAAAAAAUAAAAUUACUUCAUAAUUUUGAAAUUUUAAUAAAAGUGAUGAGACAAAUAUUAUAUAACAAUUAUAUUUAUUAAAGAUUAAAUAAAAUAUUGGAUGAAAUAUUAAAGUUCAUCGCCCGAGGUGUGGCCUAGAUUCGAGUCGUAUUAGUCACGUUUGUUGUUCGAGUUUUACCUAAUAUUGUAAUUCACCUAAAAAAAAUUUAUAGUAUUUUUUAUUCAAAAUUUUCUAUGGGUGAGUUUUUACUAAUUUAUAGAAAAUAUAAAAAGACAAACAUUAUUACUUUGUAAAACGAACGGUCUUUUUGUCAUUUUCCAAUUGAACUGAUGUUCGAUUAAUUUAUGACACCGACUCAAUUAAAGGCUUAAACAAUAUAAAAAUACAAGCAUGCUAUCUCAAAAUCUCAAUAAAGAAGCAAAGAUGGUGAUAUGGAAAUUCAAAAAUGUCCUUAUAGUGAUACGAGUAUUUUGUAAAAUGAAUGGUCUCUUGUAUCAUUUCUUAAUUGAAAUGACGUUUGGUUGACUCAUGACAACUUAAUCAAAGGCUAUUAAAAGCUUAGAUGAUAGAAUCGAUAUUGGAGAAAGAAAGCAUAUUAUCUCAAAGGUCAAAAUAUGUCAUAAUUCUUAUAUUCUUUGUAAAUUUAGAAUUUAGUCAUUAUACUUUUAUUCUUAUGAAUUUAGUCAGCUACUUUUUGUAUUCCGAAAUUUAGGUCCAACAGUUAACACUAUUAAAAUUAUUUUUGUUAAAUUCAGGUCUUUUAGUUACAUUGCUACUAAAUGAGUAUUUUUUUUAUUUCAAAAUGUCCCACCAAUAAAUUUAACAAUACUAACAAUUUGACCUGAAUUUUAAAAUCUGAAAAAAGUAGAGAGAACAGGGGAUACCAUUUCACCCACGGUGAGAUGGAAUCAAUAGGGUAUAUGUCUUUUAAACGGUGAAUCAACUCCCUUUUUACACCUGUGGUGAAGUGCGGUGUGGUAGUUGAAUUGCACCACACCCGUCAAUUUUGGCUGGUGCUUUAUGCUCCGGGGAUGGAGAAUUUUUUUACAAAAAUAACUUUUUUUUGAGUUGUUUUUAAUUAAAAUAAAUAUAUAAUAAAUUUUAUUCUAGUCCUUAAUAGUCAUUCUCUAUUCUCACAUCACCGAUAAAAUUGCGUUUGAAUCCAAAUAUACAUCCCACCGCUAUUUCUAAUCACACUGCCAUCGUUGUUUUUAAUCUCUCUGGAGGUAAACAUACCGUCCAUCCAACUAAAUUCCAAAAUUCCUAGAAAAUAAAAGUAAAUGGAUUAAAUUCCAAAACUGUGAAUGGUCCAGGACCUAUAUCACAUUUUUACCCAUCUCAAAACCAAAUCAAGAAGCAAAGAUGGUAUGAACCAAAUCAUAUUCUUCUUCUUAUUAUUAUUAUUGUUUAAAACUGUGUGAAGUGUGGAGACAGUCAACUGAAGGAAUAAAAUAAAAGAGAAUAAAGGCAAUGUGCCAAAGCAACAAAGUUAUAAAUCCAUGAUAUUAAUUUGAUAAUUAUAUUAAUAUGAAAUAAUAAAGUUUAUAGUAAUAUGCUUUACUUGUUGCCUCUGCAUGUAAGUCCAAAUAAUUACGUUCAAUGCUGAAUAAGAAUCACAGCCAUUUGCCUUUAUAUGCCAUUUCCUGUCAUAUUCGUAAUCUUAUUUCAGUUUUUUUUUAUAUCUUGGGUAAAAUUUAGUUUUGGUCCCUUUACUAUACUCAAAUUUUAGAUUUAAUCUUUGUACUUUUAAUUGAUAUAAUUUGAUCCGUCUAUUUUUAUAAUGUCAUUAGUAGAACAAUUUCAUUAAAAAAAAUAGAGUUAAUCAUGUCAAACUAAAGUAUAGAAAUUAAAUCUCAAAUUUUGGACAUAGUAGAGGGAUCAAAAUCAUAAUUUGACAUAUAUUUUUGUAUUUUAUAAGUUUCAAGAUAAUUUUAUUUUGUAUGAAUCUUGACUUGUUUUUUUUUGUAUUUUAUUCUUAUAAUAUAUAUUUUGAUCUAAUUAUAGAUUUUAUCAAUUCACUUUUAAAAAAUUGAGAAAUUAACCCAAUUCGGUAAAAUUGUUAAGUUUUUACAUGGAAUUGUUAACUUGAAAAAUUAGCAGUUCAACAAUUUAUAUAUGUAUAAUUGUAAAAAUUAUGUGCCCAAACAAUGCAUAUGCAACAAAUUAGUAAAUAUUAGCAAUUCAAAUUCACGUGUUUGCCAAUAAAUGGACCAAAUUAUCAGUUUUCAUGAAGUAUGAAGACUAAAUUCUAAUAAAUUAAAGCAAAAGGAUUAACUUCUUAAAUUUCAAAAAGUAAAAGGAUUAAAUUUAAAGUUAUACCAUUUUUUGUCGUUGAAGAAAAAAGGGAGAAAUUACUUUAAAGAGCCCUUACGCGUUUUAGCACGAAAACAGAUGGACAUUGAAAAGAAAAAGUGAAAGGAAAUAGUGAAAUUUACUUCUUCCAGAAGGUAUCUAUGUCACAUGAUUUCUUUAUAAUAAUUAUCAUAUUUUAUGUUUUACUCUUUUAAGAUAAAUAUCAAAUUUAUAUAUAAAAUUUAUUUUAAUUUGUAAUUUGACAUAUAAACUUUAAUUUUGAUUUAAUUAUAUUUAUUUUAAGAAAUAAAUACGUUAAUUUUUAUAUUAGUUAAAUAUAAUUAUUUGUGUAUGCAAUAUGUAAACGUAAAAUAAUAUUAUAUUAAUAAUUAUGUUAAUAAUUUGUGAAUAUUAAAUAAAAUUAUAAUUUAAUAUAUAAAAUUGCACAAAUUUAAAAUUUAUCCCAUCUAUUAUUAAUUUGUGAUUCUACUUUCUAGUUGGCCGUACAGAUAUGUAACCAUAGAGAAAUUAAAACCCAAAGUUUUGUCAAAUUUUCUACUUUCUAGUUUACCGUACAUAUAUUUAAAAAAAAAACACAGAUUUUAUUAAUAAGUUGAUAUGUAACCAUAGAGAAAUUAAAACCCAAAGUUUUGUCAAAUUAAAAUACAGAGAUCAAAUCUUCGAGUUAAGUUUAAUAAAUGAUAAAAAUCAUAUUUUGAGCACACUUAUAUUUCGAUUCAACCGUAUAAUUAAAAUUUAAAAAUGAGAAAAUAUUUGAUGCAUCAUUAGUAUAUGAAUUUCAUGAAUAAUAACAUAAUACAUAAUUACUGAAUAAAAUAAAAUAAAAAUAGCAAGGACUUGAAAAUAAACACUAAUGACUUUAUUUAAACAUGUUUGCAUUUUACAAAAUAAUUAAUUAAAAUAAAUAUUAAAAACUUAAAACUUUAAACCCAACCGUGCAUCAAAUAAGAGAUCUAAUAAUAUCAUUCACCACAAAAACUAUUAAAUUACCAAGUGUUAAAUAAAUAUAAAAUUACUUAAACAAAUGGUCGGCAGAUAAUGAAUGAUGUGAAAUGUGCUUUCCAUUCAAAGAUAAGGUUUGAUUGUUACAACUAAAAGAUGGUACAUGGAAUUGGCUACAACUAUUUGAAUUUUGAACAGAAAAUUGACAAGUGUUCAUAUUACUCUUGUGGUUUUGUACCUGGCUAAUUAUGUGUGUUUGACAAUCAUGCAUGGAUUUUUCUUCACUCAACCACUUCCUAUGGAAAACAUGAGUAACUCGUUUGAAAUUCGGGUAACUACCUCUAUUCCCGGGUUAUCGAACUGGACAAAGUUUCCAUAUUACCAUCAGUUCCAUUUCCGGAAAUGGGUAUUGUAUAUUUAUUCAUUGUCCUUCCUAGACUGGUGCCAAGUUUAUCCUGUUGUAAACAGUGAUAGAACAUGAACGGUAAAAGUAUCAUGAAAACUCUUGUAGUAGUAAGUGAAUUGCACUUUACCUCCUCUACUCCAAAAAUAGACAAAUGAGUCCUUGUAUCAAAAAGUAAAUUGAUCAUUUUGUUAAAAAUUCUAUCCAUUUUUACUAUUAAAAACUAGUCCAUGUAUAUCAGCAUGAGGUAUACAUAGCAUACCAUGUAUAGCUGUCUAAUUACUCCAUCAAUCACGCCAGUUUUUAACAGUAGAAAUAGAUGAAAUUUUUAACAAAAAAGACCAAUAUGUUCUUUGAUCUAAUGUAUAAGGACAAAUUAACCCAUUUUUUUUAGUAAAGGGAGCAAAAUACAAUUUUACUCUUCGCAGGGGCUUCCAUGAUAUUUUUACCAACAUGAACUGAUUACUGUGUUACAACAAUUACUUAAUUGUCUCGUUUUUGCUUAAUAAAAAAGCUCCAAUCUAGAUGUUGGAAGUUAAUUUUUACCUCUUGAAAAUUGUUCGUUGAAAAACAGAUUGGCAUAGAUUAGCUCAUUCCAGGUAUCGGGAACUCCGGGAAGACACCAAUGGCUGCAAUCUUGAUGCCUUGAAGAAACUUUUUUCCCUUCUGUUAAUCCCUUGCGGUAGAUUGACGGAUGGCCAUCCUUUCGAGAGUUAGUCAAUCUUGUUAUGUUUAAAAGUGCCACGGGCAACUUCAUUUCCCGAAUCACUUCUUCCACUAUUUUCAUUUUCGGAGGAUAGGUUUCGAGAAAGGCACCUCUCUUCAAAAUUGGUUCGGUUUCCCCAUGACAAGUUCCCCCUGAGUUCCAAUCUCCACCUCUAUUUCAAGGAUCAGAAAUUAAUUAGCCAACACAAGUUAAUCCGAUAUACAUAUGUGUAUAUACAAUACACUCAUGCGGUGCAUGUUUUAUAUAAAAUUGCAUGUUAAAUGCUUCUUUGAAUACAAAGCUUUUUUAUCAAAUGGUAAACAAGAUACUUACGGAUUUUCAUUUCAAUAAUGAAUAGCAUUAAUCUCAUUUCCCUAUAUGGAUUUUCUUAAAAGGGAAAGUGGGUGUUUCGCAAUGGAAUCAAGCUUAAGAAAAUCGGGCCGAGGGUCAAACCCUGGUUUACAGUCUAGGUAAUCUAAAUAUAGUUAAUAACUAAUAAAAACAUGCAUUUAGCUUAAUGGUACAAUAUUCAAUAUAAAACUAAGAGGUUAAUUGUUCAAAUCUCAUCAACCACGAUCAAAAUUACGGAUUUUUAAAAUAUAUAAAUGGUUUUUAUCUAAUGGUUUGCCUGUUAAACCAGUUCUCUACCAGUUUUAGAUACUAUACUGGGUUAGACAGUCAGUUCCUAGUUUAACCGGUCUAGCUUUUUAAUCACUAAAGGGAAUGAGAUCGAAGCUAGUCUAAUGGUAAUAAAGUGUGUUUCGGUUAUACCUGAAAUGAGCAGAAGAGUAUCCACGAAAGAAGACCAAUUGUUUUGUGGGUUUAAUAUUGUCAUCGAUCCAUUUUGCCCAGGUCUUCAAAGCUCUUUGAUAAGCUUCCAUAGCAUCAAAUUUCGGAUAAACAUAAUCACCUUCUUGGUAGUAAUUUCUCCUGUAUCAACUAAUCAUAUUUGUCAUUUCUCCAUAAGGCUUUGCUUGAUAGAAUAGAUAUGUUGGUAACAAAGAUGGAAAAGUGAAAAGAAAAAAUAAAUUUCUUUCCACACAUUGUUCGCUAUGAUUGAAAAAUGAAACAAAAGAAGAUAAAAGCAUACUGAGCUAAGAUGGAAAAACAAGAAUGAAGGAUUAUCAUGAAAAUAUACAGGGCUUGAGACACUCUCAUUUUCAUCCAUCUUUUCUUUUUCGAUUUUAAGUGAUUUAAUUUUGUUAAUAGUAACAGAAAAUGAGAAUUUUUCCUAUUUUUUCCCUCUUACUUUUCUCUUCUACCAAACACACCCAAAUUUCAUUUUCUUUCAACUUUUACAUUCUCUUUUAUCCAUCUCUCCCACUUUUUCACUUACCAAGUACAACAGCACGGCCUAAAAGUAACUUUUCUUUUAAUUUUUCGACUUAUGAUAUUGCAACUCUUAAUCAAUGUAGCAUAAAAAUAAAACAUGUAUGAAGUAUAAUUGUAGUGAGAUUUGUAACGUACCCUCGGGCAGUCUUUCCAUGAACCCACCAAUGGGCGGUAUUGAAAAUGAGAAUAUCAGCUCGCUUCCAUUUACGAGAUGACUUAUCAAUUAAAUCUAACGAUAGAGUGCGAGAACCUUGUCGUACAAGAAAAUGAGACCUUACAAAUUCCACCGUACAGUUAUAGUCCUGCUAAAAAAUCGAAGUUUAGAUUGUUUUGAAAUCACAAACCGCUGUUUUUCAUAAAAUCCUUUUUCUGGUUUCAAUUGUUUGUAAAAGUUUUUUUUUUUCCCAUUAGCAGUUCACAAGUGAAAUUAGUUUAUUUUUCAAAAUAAAAAACAAAAUAAUGUAUACAUGGUCGCAAUAUGCUAUUGGAAUAAAAUUGUAUACUCUCAACUCAAAAGAUUAAGUGCUUGAUGAAGUUAAAAGGUUCGUUGAAAAAGAUGCUUUAGAAAACACUUGUCCAAUUAAUGAAACAUGAAGAAACCUAAUGAAAGAUACGAGAGAUUAUGGACAAUUUUGAGGACUCCUAUAGAAAAAUGUGGUCUUUAAAAGAACGUAUAAAGGAAAGUAUAAAGGAAAAAUGUAGCCAUUAAAAGAAUGCAUUCAACUGAGUAAUGAAGAAAUAUAGCAAGCAUCUUGUUACCUUGAUUUUGAAUAAAAAGUACCCUCUUCCUUUUGAUACUUUGUUGCCAUUGACCUCGUACAUUUUGCUCUUAUCGGUAAGGCCUUUGUAGAGGAGGCAUAACAUUGACUCAAACUGAUUGCGGUUCAUUGAGUCUCCAACCAGCAUCAGUCUUUUACCUCUUAGUCUCUCCAAGAAGUCCGUAGCAUUAAACCUGAGUUCAAUUGGUAAAUUAAAAAAAAUAACUUGCAAUCAGCAAGUAAAUGUGAGGAAAAACAAGGUUAAAUAGAAAGAAACCACAGCUAAGCAGGCAUUAAUUAGCAAUAGAGUUAAUUGAAAGGGCUGCCUUGUCAAAACAGAACAGAAAUUCAGUGCAAUAGGAUAUCAUCAAUUUGCAGUAUUUAUAGCUUCAAAGAUGAACUAAAAGUUUUUAAAGUACUAAAGAUGAAGGUAUUAAUCGUAUUCUUAGGUUCUUGUAUGAACGAUUAGAGUGUGCUUUAACUUAAGCAAGGAUAGCAAGUCGAGGUUAAUAUUACAAAAAUGCAUGAAAUGAGAAAAUAUAAACCUCUUCUUUAGGUCCAAAAUUCAAUAACUCACCCUCAGUCACUUCUAAUCCGAGUUAUUAGCAUAUUUAGAGCUUUGAAAUACUCAAAUUCUCAUCUAUUCUACAAUCCAGAAAUAUGCAUUUGCAUGCACUAAGCAUCUUUCCCCAUUUGAUGCCAACACAAAAUAAACGAAACAGGCUGAAAGGAAAGAAUUUCCUCCUGUUUAUCUAUGCAAGUGAUUUCCCCUUUGUUUUCCUGCGACUGCCCAAAUCUCUAGAGCCCAAAAUUAUCAAAGUCUAGCCUUUUUCUACUCUUACACAAUAUCUGUAGCUUUGGGGGAAUUUUAAAUGCACGGGUUGGGGAGCAAGCUGCCAGGAAUACCGCUCUUCUCCACACUCUUAGAUCAAUAUAGCUGGCUACAUUGCUUUCUCCUAAAUCUUCCUAAAGUCAAAAUUACAUUUUGUUCUUAAGUGGAGUAGCAAGGAAAUGCCCCUUGAUAAGUUACAGCGACUUGAGAAGGGGUCUAUAAUAAGAGUAUCUAACCAACAUGGGCAUUUCAUGUUUUUCGGAAAUCCUUUUACGUGAAUCUUGAGUAUCCAAGUCUCAUACUUAUUUGCAGUUAUAAUGCCAAAGAAGUAUCAGCCUCGGCAGGUAUAUUAGGACAAAGCAAACAGUUCAUGUAGCAUAAUGUUCUAAUCUAGCAUUAGUGAUAGCUAGAGUAACUCAUCCUUGAAGUAUUAUUAUCACCGAACUGGUACAAAAGAGAGUAUUUCCACCUAUAUUGUUGCGACUAACAAAGUAAUAGAAACAUUUUACAAGUCUAAAAGCACCAAAGAUGUACUUGACAAAAUACACUAGUUAUAACAAUAGUCCAUAAGUUUUACAUAAAAAUGUAAAAAUAACCUAGGAAGUUUAAUACAAAAUACAUAAUAAUAUAAAGUAUUAUGCGACCGGAAAAGGUAAAAACUUGCUAAGAAUUUGAAAACGAAAGAAGAUAAGAGAUUCACCAUAGAAAAAGUAAACAAAAUUUGACUAACAAAUAUGAUAGCUUUUAACCCUACAAAAAGAAUUCAGGCUAACCCCAUUACAAGCCAGUAUUGACCUACGAUAACUCUAAUACUCGGAUAACUCAUUUAUGCAUACAACUGACUGUAGAACUUUAAAAGGGAAUUCUACAAAACAUUCAACUUGAGCCACAGAAAUUAGGGAUUAACUAAAAUCAUUGACAAACAAUACACUUAGGCCUCCACAUGUGUGGCCUUAGAGAAAAGUUUUCCUAAGAUAUAACUAAAUAUACUAAAAAUUUCAUCCCAAUUUUUAAUAAGACAAAUUUGCAAUGACAUUAGAUCAGAAGAUUAGGUAAAUAAAGUCUUUAAUUUAGCAAGAGUAUUUUGCUAUUAGUUCAUUUGAUUCAUACAACCAUUCUUAAGAUGAGGUAUUCAAUAGAUUUGGGGUUCAGAUACCAAUAUUUGCAGACCCUUCCCUGAUUCCCAAGGCAACUUGUACUACUUGAAAAUAUCACAUAGCACAUUUGAAGACCACAAAAAGCAAUGAACCAUUUUCACUAAAUGCAUCUACACUAAAAUAAAUUGUUUGUAUAAUGUAAAGAGAAAUUGCUUUUGAUACACAGUAAAAUUAUAUAAUUUUAAGGAAAUGAACACAUACCUUGGAAGAUCACAGCCAUCAGGCUUCCACCGCCAUCUCAAAUAAUCAUAAUCUUUCCUUCCAUUGCCAUGACAGUCAAAAGCCUCGUCAACGUAAGGGCAAGAACCCGGUUUGUAAAUUGGGUACUCUUCGUCUCUCACCCAAGUCCCAGUGUAAAGAUCACAGGUUUUCCUCUUCUUCACUUCACCCUUGCGAACAACUCCGUUAUUUGGCGGCGGUGGGUUCCGUUUCUCUGGAGCAGCUCCAUUACCAGCAGGUGGGUUCUGCCUCUUUGGGGCAGAGAACGGAUCGUCCACGCUUGUGGCAUUUGAAGAAGAGUCAAGCUUAACAGUUUGAGAAAUUGAAGGGAUGGGGUCUUGGUGGGUUGAUAAGUUCAGUGGCUCUGAGCCAGCCGGUCGCGGCGGAGAUGGCGGUGGUGGGUCGGGAAAAGGGGGAACUAAAGAGUGAAUGUGAGAUGUGGUGAGCGAAAAAGAUUCCUGGUAAACGGAAAUGGAGGGCUCAAGCGUGCGUUUACUGAAAAGAACAAUGCUGAAGAAGAACAAUGCAAUGAAGACAACUGUGGUUAAUGCAAAACGGGUUUUUCGCGAAAUGGAAGGAGAAUCGUCCAUUUGGAUUUGGAUUUGGAUUUGGUUAAGGGAGAUUGCAUCGGAUCUUUUUGUUUCCUUUACUAUUGGCAAAAACACAUCUCCAGACUAAAGAGUGAAUGUGAGAUGUGGUGAGCGAAAAAGAUUCCUGGUAAACGGAAAUGGAGGGCUCAAGCGUGCGUUUACUGAAAAGAACAAUGCUGAAGAAGAACAAUGCAAUGAAGACAACUGUGGCUAAUGCAAAACGGGUUUUUCGCGAAAUGGAAGGAGAAUCGUCCAUUUGGAUUUGGAUUUGGUUAAGGGAGAUUGCAUCGGAUCUUUUUGUUUCCUUUACUAUUGGCAAAAACACAUCUCCAGUCCCUCUUAAUUUCGAUAAUGAGUAUAUUGAUCCCUCACAGAAAAAUCGAAACAAUUUAAUCUCUUUCAAUUUCAAAAGUGAGCAAUUAAGUAUAAUUAGUCUCAACAUUAAUGUUGUUUGUCAAUUGUAUACAAUUUUGGUUGCUAUAAUAACUUUAGCUUUUAAAUUUUAGACAUUUGGUCAAUAUGGUCUCGAUUUAACACAUUUAGCCUAAAAUAUUUGUGUAAAUGUUGAGGUUAAAUUUAUUGAUUUUUUAAAAUUAAGACUAAAUUGAAAAAAUAUGUAAAUAUUAAGGGCUAAAUUUUUUUAUAUCAAUCAAAAUUAUGUACAAUUGAUGAAAAAUAUUAACACCGUGAUUAAUUGUUUUAAGUUUCUCCCAUUUUUUGAGAGGGAUCAAUUUGCUCAAUUGUGAAACUAAGAGGCACUGGGAAUGUCUUUUUACGUUUACCUUUUGAAAUGUAUAAACAGAAACUUGUAGCAGGCGGCUGCAAUUCGACUAUUUUUAAUUUUUAGGGUAAACUACUUAGUUGGUCACCCAGCUUUUAGGGUUAUUUCAUUUUGAUCAUUAAAAAAAUCUUAUAAUUUCGUCACUCAAUUUUUAGGACAUUUUCAUUCUGGCCACCCAAAAAAUUUCUUAACGGUGGCUAAUUGUACAAGUGAAAUCAAUUAAAAAAUAAUGCACUAAAAAAAAUAUUGUACUUGUUUAUCCAAUUACCGAGAAUUCAAAAUUUUUUUUCUUCAAUGUUGAAAUUUUAAAUUUCAAAACAUUAAAAUCAAUUAAAUAAAUUAUUUAAUUUAUUAUUGUAAUAAAGGAAUUCAUAAAUUUAAUUUCAUUCUAAAUUUUAAAAAUUUAUUUAUAUUUCUAGAUUAUUCUUUACGAACUUAACUUAAAUAAAUCAUGUUUAAUAAUUGGCUACAAAACAAAAUUAAAUUUGUCAUAUAAUCUUGAAUCUUCCAUGCUAAGCUGGAAAGAAAUGAAAAAAAUCCUUACAAUUAAUUAAAUUAAAUUAAAUUAUUUUUUUCGUUUUAGUAAAUAAGCGAUUAAAAGUGGUAGGUUUUGUUAGACAUGGAAAAUAAAAUUAAUUAAUUGUAAAAAAAAAUUCUUUAUUUUUAGCUUAGCAUGAAAGACUCGAGAUCAUAUAAUCAAAAGAAAUUUGGACUUUGUAGACUGUUAUUAAAGAUAGUUAUUUGAGUUUAUUAUAAUUUGGAAACCUAAAAUGAAAUUGUAAAUUCUAGAAUGAAAUUAAAUUAAUUAAUUUUAAUAUUAUAAUAACAAAUUUCUUAAUACUAUCAAGGGAUGAUAAAUUUUCAAUAAUUUAAUUAAUUAAUUUUGAUAUUUAAAUUUUUAAAUUUAAAAGAGAAAAUAGAACUUCCGGUAAAAUGGUAAACCAGUACGAUUUGACAAUUUUUAAUGCAUUAUUUUAGUUUUAGUUGUUUUUUUUCACUUUAAUUCUAAAUGUCCUUUUUACCCCAACUAAUACUUAGAAAAAAUAAAAUUGGUGAUCAAUAUGAAAGUGACCUAGAAGCUAAAUGACUAAAAUGAAAUUAUAAACAUGAUGUGGCGAGUAUUAGAGAUUUAAUGCUCGAGUAACUAAAAUGAAAGUGCCUUAAAAGUUGAGUGACAAAAUUGCAAUGACCAAAAUGAAAGCACCUUAAAAAUUGGGUAGUUUACCAUAAUUUUUUUAUAUAUAGAUACGAAAAUAGAUUUUGGUGUAUAUUAAAAGGCAUAAUAAUGAAUUUAUCCCUCAACAUUUACGUAAUUUAUCAAUUUGGCCCUUGUUAUUUUUUUGGCUAAAUUUGGUCGUUGACCUUUAAAAAAGAGCCAAUUCACUUUUUUUAAAACAGAAAUGAUGAUUAAAACAUUAAAUUUUUAACAACAUUAGCGUGGAAAAUUAUGUGACAAUUCACAUGUAUUUCAUAUGACAGUAUUUGUCUUAUAUGUCACUUUAACUAUUAAUCUAAAAGUUAUAAAUAUAUUUUAAAUUAAAAAUAUCGAACUUUUCAUAAAAAUUCAAAAAUUUAACAUAAAGUACAUGUGAAUUGUCAUGCGAGUUGCCAUGUUUGGAGCUUUAAUAUUUUAGUCCAUAUUUUUAUUAAAAACAAUUUAAUUUUUUUUAGGUUGAUGGUCAAAUUUAGCUAAAAUAAUAAUAAAGACCAAAUCGAAAAAAAUGAAAAAAAUUAAGAACUAAAUUUAUGUCAUUUUAAAAAAGAAAAACACCUAUAACUAUAAUAUAAUCUUAGUAUUAUCCAAGUAACUAUAAAGCAUAUCCAAGCCAUUACCAUGUACACACAAACGAAAACAAAAAAGAUUCGAAUUAAAACACGAAUAUAACCCAUUAUUCAACUUAUUUGACAGGAUGGUUAAUAGAUUAUUUAUGGUUAAACUCUUCACAAUUUAUUAAUGGGUAUAACUCAUUUGGUAUGAAUAGUUUAUCAGUCUAGGCGUGGAUGUUCUUGUUUGGAAUUAUGCAACUGACAUUAGAGAUAUAGUUUGUUAAAUAUAAAAGUUUAAUGAUAUAAAUUGAUAAAAUUAAAGAUAGUGAUUUAUAAAGAAGUUGAAAUUAAAUUCACUAAUCUAGAAUAUAAAUUAAAUUAUAUCACACUCAUGAUGUGGGUGAAAAAUAAUUAUUUUAUGUAAACCACGAGAUGGAGUAGUAAAAAACUUGUAUAUAAAUUUUAUAUAAAUUUUAUUAAACAUGUAUUUGAUCGAUGAAAGUACUAUAGAGAUCAUUGUACCCGGAGUUUGAUUGUAUUUUGCCCCAUCUACUAAAAAUGGGCAAAUUAGUCCAUACAUGUUAGAUCAAAGAGUAAAUCAACCACUCUAUUAAAAAAUCCAUUCACUUCUACUGUUAAAAACUGGUCAUUGUAUGUCAGCGUGUCAUGUGUUGUUGAUUAUUUUGUUAGCCAUGUCAAUUUUUUGUAGGAAAUGAACAAAAAUUUAAAAAAGAUGACAAGUUUACUCUUUGAUUUAAUAUACAUGGGCUAAUUUAUCAUUUUUUUAAUAGAUGGGGUAAAAUACGAUCUGAAACCUAAGGAUCUCCAUGAUUUUUUAACGUAUUUCAAAUGCAAAUAUCUUUUUUUUCAUAUUUUAUGAGAAAAUUUUAAAGAAAUGACAUUAUUAUUUUAAUAAUUUUAAAACUCAUUUAAAUAAUGUUUUGAAAAUUACUAUAAAAAAUACAAAAACUAUAGUAUUUCAACUUCAAUUUUUUUGGUAUUUUUUAUAUAAAAAUAUAAAAGAAUAAAAACAUCAUUAAAAUGAUACAAAAUUUUAAAAUAAUGAUAUUUUAGUCAUUGACCAACUGAAUUGGUCCAAUUGCAUCCACGACACCAACUUAAUCAAGUGAUUAAUAUAUAGUAAGUACAAAUAUUAAAAAUACAUUAAAUAAUAACAAAUAAAUUGUUAAAAUUAUAUAACUACUAUUAAACUAGGUCGGAUUGGUCGAUUAAAUCAAGAACCGAUUAGAGCACUGAUUUGGAGAGAGGGAAUACACUAAUUGACUCGCAAACCAUUCAAAACCUAUUAAACCAAGUUAAAAAAACUAGUUGAACCUAUUUUCUUUAUGUUUAUUUUUUUAAUUUUAUGAAUUCUUAAUAAUAUAUUUAAUUAAAUUGAACGAAUGUGAUUUGAUUGGUUCAAUCAUCUAUCAUGUUCUAAAAACCUUGAUUUUGAUAUUAAAUAUUUAAACUAAAAGUUUAGAUAAAUGGCAUUCAUUCAUUUUUUAUUUAAAUUUAUUUUUUACUAUUAACUAAAAAAUUAUAAAAAAGUACAAAAGUCAUUGGCAUAAAACAGGGUAUUGUUUCUGGUAUAAUUAAAAACGAAAGAUUUAGCUAAUUGAAUCUUAACUCGAUUGGUAUGCGCAUUGUUACCAAUGUAAUAGUACGUGGGUUUGAGUACACUAAAUCGCAUUGUCCUCAUAUGAAAGUUUAGAGAUGGGCUAUGGGUAGUUCUAAGUAUUAUGUCAAAAAUAACUGAUUUGAUCAUAACUUAUAAACGGAUUACAAAAGAAAAGGCUUAAUGCAUAAAUUGGUACUUGUGUUUUUGCUGGUUUAAUAUGGUACCUAAAUUUGACAAAAGUUAUAGUGUUUAAUUCGGGGUUUAGAGUUUAUUUAAUAAAAAAUCAUAAUUAGCUAGCAAUAUUAGCAGUGAAUUUUCAUCGAAUCAAUCCUAAAUAAUUAAAUUACAUCCAUAGGAUUGUAUUUGACAAAUCAAAAGCAAAAUUAAACAAAUUCACAAUUAACACUAAAUAACUUCAUUCAGAUCAACCAUAAGACUCGAAUUAGACACUAAAAAGAUAAUAUUGUUACUUCAAGUACCAAAAUAUAUAGUUUUUGUCAAAUAUAGGUACCAUAUUGGACCAAAAUAUAAAACAAGUAUCGCAAUAAAAAAAAGUGUAAAAACCAGGUACCAAAUGAUAUAUUAAGCCUAAAAAAAUACAUAAUCUUAAUAUCAUGUUUAUAAAUAUUAAAAUACCUUUUUUAAUGGGUAAACUACACCCAAUGUCACUAAACUAUUACUAACUUUGCUUUUUAGUCACUAAAUUUUAAAAAGUUACAAAAUGGUCAUCAAACUAUUAGAAAGAUUUUAUUUAAGUUAUUGUGUUAUUAAAGUCGCUAUUGUAUGUCAUUUUCUAUUCACAUCGCUUGCACCAAUCGAAAUAUUUCAUUCUUAUUCUCUUCUAUGGUUCAUUUUUUCAUGAAACAACAUUAAACGUUAUGAGUCUACGAAUUAAAACUCAAACAACUUUAUUUUCUGAUAUUCGACAUUAAUUAUCAGAUCGUUUGGAUCUAAGGCAUGCUCUACUACUCAUCGAUGGGUACCAAUCAACCUUACUGAUCGUCAACUCAUCACUUGGACCUUGCUAGUUUGACUAAAAAAUAAUUAACAUCACAACGACUUAACUAAAAAAGUUCAAAUAGCUCAAUAGCUUAAGUGAAAACUUUCAUAUAGUGUAAUUAUUAUUUUGCACAUUUUGGAGUUAAAUGUCAUCAACGUAAACUUGUGAAUAGUUUAGUGAUAUUGAGUGAAAAUAAUUAUGUAAUAUUUUUACUAAAAAUUGACAUGAAAAUGAAAUAUUGUAUUAGUAGAAACAAUAAAGUAAGAAGAGUGUAUAUGAUGGUGUAUUGGGUUCAUAUUAGACAUGAUCAUGGACUGGUUCGGAUGGGCUGAAGCAUAAUUUUAGGCCCAUUUUCGGGUUGGGUCAAUCUAAAUUAAAAAUGCUAAACCUGAGUUCAACCCAACCACCCGUAUUAUUUUUUUUAGAUUUUUUAUAUAAAAAUAAAUUUUAAAAAUAUAAUAAACCAAAUACACUAAAAACAUUAAAAUAAACAUUUCUCAACAAAUUGAAAAUACAUUAAAAAAGUCUUUAUACUUAAAUAACACUAAGAUAGUUGCUACUUAACAAAUAAAUGUCUCUAAAAUAGUAGCAAAAUAGUAAAACAACAACAUAGCAACAACAAAACAGGGAAAAAAAGUUUAUGGGACAAAAAAAUCAUAUCCUAGGCUCAGCCCAUUUAGAAAACGAGUAUUAUUUUUUGUCUAAAUUCAUUUUCGAGCCUAUAUUUUUUCCCAAAUCUUUUUAACUUUUUGGAUAGGCCUUCAAAUCGGGACGAGUGGUCCGACCCAUGAUCAAGUGUAGUUCCGAUUUUAUUAUUAGCAUACAAUUUUUUUUAGAUUUUAUAUAAAAACCUUAAAUUAAUAUUUGUUAUUUUAUUAAAAUAAAAUUAUUUUAGAUAUAGAUUUGUGAAUGUAAAAACACCUUAUUUUAAUUCAACACAAACCCGACCCGACCUUAUCUAUUAUAAACACCUCCGUAGUAAUUGACGAACACCGUUUUAUUUUCUCAAGCAAGUCGAAAUAGAAACCUCUUUUUCGAAGCCCCGACCAGCUCUUGCAAGUAAAAAUUCCCGCCAUGGAAAUCGCCGACGCCUCGGAGAACGGUUCGGCAAAGACCCAGGCACCGAACAACACGGCUAUAGUAGCCGACCCAUCAGCCGUAAGCCCUUCAGAAACGACCGCUAAUAACCCAGCAGUAGAGAAGUGGCCCGGCUGGCCGGGUCACUGCGUUUUUCGGCUCAUCGUGCCGGUUUCUAAAGUGGGCAGCAUAAUUGGCCGUAAAGGCGAGCUUAUCAAGAAGAUGUGCGAGGAAACCCGGGCCCGUAUCCGCGUACUUGAUGGUGCUGUUGGAACUCCCGAUCGAAUUGUAAACGCCCUUUUUUAUUUUUUUAAUUUUUAGUUUUUACCUUCAAAUAUUUUCCUUAUUUUCUCUUUCACCGUAGUCGAUUCAUUGGGCUCUCUUUAGUUUAUAUAAUAAGUUUGAUAAUGAAAAAACGAGCUAAGGGUAAAAGAAGCGAAACUUUAGGCCUAAUUAAUCUAUAUUGAUGCAAAUCUUGUAUCUCUUGAUUCGAAAAAGUUAAAAAUUUCGUUUUUAUUUUCUUUUUGGUAGCGAAAAAUUGCAGUAAAAGUAACAACUGAGCUUAAUAGGAUGGUUUCCCAUUGUGAGAUUUAUGUAAAUCUAGGUACCCUUUUGUAACUAUUACUGUAUGGAGAAGUAGAACUGUUGUUUGUAGGCAAAGAUUUGAUUUUGGAGCAAAUAGUAAGUACUCUGUCCAUUGUGAGAUUUAUGUAAAUCUAGCUACCCUUGUACUGGUUCCUUGAAUUUAUUGGCUUUUUCUUGUAGGUGCUAGUAUCUGGAAAGGAAGCACCAGAGGCGCCUCUUUCGCCUGCAAUGGAUGCUGCUAUAAGAGUUUUUAAACGUGUCUCAGGAUUGCCGGACAACGAUGGGGAUGCUAAAGCAGCUGGAGCCGCAUUUUGUUCCAUCCGGUUGUUGGUAGCUUCUACGCAAGCAAUCAGUUUAAUCGGAAAGCAAGGCUCCUUAAUUAAGUCAUUACAAGAGAGCACCGGUGCAUCUGUGAAGGUGUUGUCAACAGGUAUGUUUUGUACUUCUUAAAAUAUGUAAGAGUUCUUUGCAUUUAGGUUUCAGUUGGUGCAUAUGGAUUGGGUAAUGAAAUAUAUUUAUCUUGUAAUUUUAAUGCUCUCUCCCUAUUUUGUGUAACGCUAUUGUUUUGGGAUUAUACAAUCCUUUUGCCUUUUGAUUGAGUUGUUUAAUCCUCGUCAUAUAGGAUAAAACCAACUGAUUGUUCUAUCCUUUAAUUAAAAAGGUCGAGUAAUUGAUAAAUAUGAAAUUAAAUAAGAACUUAUCCUACGCAUUCCCAUGCUAGGCAUGAAGUAAACCUUAAAUCAAUAAAGUCUUGGCUUAAUUCUGCUUGGCUCAGUGCAUUAAUGGAUAAUUAUUGAGAUCCCGUGCCCUUUAUUAUUUAUUUAAUGGGUGCACGCUUAUGCUCAUUUAUGUGCAUGCUUCAUUUAUCUAUUUUGGGGGGAUUUCACGUGCUUUGGUUAUCUGUUUGUUUUGGCUGGAGGGACUUUGUUGGAAGGUGUUAUUGCUUAAAUCAACCAAACUUGCCUCCUCUUUUAAUUUUAGUAAAGAUUUGGAGAACUUAAGGAUGCCCUUUUUCCAGCUGAAUGUCUUCUCAUCCCUGUUAAAGUGAGGGCCCUCCUUGGUGGUGCAUGAAGUUUUCCAAUCUGUAUAGCUGAAAAUUCACGUUCCUGAGACUUAGAUAACAUAAUGAUACCUGCUGUGUGAUUUUAGCCAAUAUCCUAACCGGCUGAUUUUAUUGCUUAGCUUUGUUAUGUCGAGGAAUCAAUAAGUGGCUGCCUUAGGUUGUAAUGUCCAAAAUCUACAAAGUGUUGGUCAUAUUGUCUGCUUCAAUCAUUUGAUCCUUUGAUAAUUCAGCUGAACUUUACUACUAUUUUAACUCAAACCGUUGCAAUUGUAUGGUUCUAGACGCAUAGAAGCCUUUUUUAUAACUUGUACAUGAUACUUACGAUUCUAGUAAUAGAAGGUAAUAAAUUUUGACGUUUCCUUCGAUUAUUUUAGACCAUUAUGGUUGCAUAAAUUGUACAAUAGAUCCAAGUUUUUGUAUAUUAUUCUGUUCAAGAAAUGCCCUAUAAAUCAUUUAUUUUUUGGUUUCUGUAAAAUUCACGAUGAACAUGUUUCUGUUGUACAGAUGAAACACCAUCUUAUGUGGUAGCAGAUGAGAGGAUUGCGGAGUUGCAGGGGGAAGCCCUGAAGGUUCUUAAAGCUCUUGAAGCAGUGGUGGGGCACCUGAGGAAAUUUUUGGUUGAUCACACUGUUCUUCCUCUUUUUGAAAAGACCGUAAGUUCGAUUCCUAUCAAACUGUUGUUAUGUAGACUGCAGCUGUUUCAUGCUAAGAUUUGCUAUGUAUGUUUGUAGCAUAAUGCGGUUGUCACUCAAGAUCUCCAAGCAGAGACAAGGGCUGAAAAGUCAUCUCUGCUUACCGUUUCUCAAAGUGGAAUCGGAAUUGAUCUUCCUAUUACAGCAAGGAGAGACUCUUUAUUCCUUGAUCAUGAAAAACAGUUCGAAUCACGAAUCCCAUCUGGAAUUUCAUUCUAUGGACAGGAUCCUGCACUUCCGACAGUACAUUCUAGUUCAGGGCUUCUUCGAACUGCUGUUCCUAUAGUUACUCAGGUUUGUUUUUACGUGUGCCUCGGUUAUUAUUACUAUUUUUUAAUUCCUUUUACCAAAAUGGGAGAGAGAGAAAUCAGAGAUUAUAAUGUCAAACAAGGAAGGGAAAGGGGGAUAUGGAGAUGAGAUUGAAAAUUAGAGGGCAGAACCAAAAUAGGGUAAGAGAGGGAAAUCUCGUAUUCAAUACUCUAAAGUCUCAAUAAUUCAUAACCCGAAGCUGGUCGAAAUUCAUAAUCCGGUGAAGCAUUUAUUUAUACAAGACAUGAACAUAAAAUGCCAAAUAAGUAAAACCCCAAGGUGAUUCUCCAUGAAAUUAAGUACUAUUUUAGUUAGUAGUUAAUUCAAGAGGGUGAGAAGAAAAUCACUUUGAGCCAUUUUUUAGGUCAUUCAUGCCCUACUUGCUCCAAAUCAUUGCUACUUGAGUUAAAGAACUUGAAUGUGGCAAUCUUUCUCUUAAUUACAUGCUCAUCAUUACAUACAUUUAAUUCAGCUUAGAGAUUUUUUAAAUGAUGUUUUGUUGUUGAAAUUAGGAUUUUGCAUUACAUUGGUUUAUUAUGUAUUGUCAUUUCUCUUCUUGCAUUUAUGGAAUCAGAUUGCUCAAACCAUGCAAAUACCAUUUUCUUAUGCUGAGGACAUUAUUGGGAUUGGAGGAGUUAAUAUUGCACACAUUCGUCGCACUAGUGGAGCCGUCAUAACCGUGCAAGAAAGUGGGGGCCUAUCUGAUGAAAUAACGGUUGAAAUUAAAGGCACCUCAUCUCAGGUUCAGUUGGCUCAACAACUUAUUCAAGUAAGACACUUUCCCAUAAGACCUAUUUGUUAAUUCAUUAUAACCGGCUGGCGUUUCAAGUUUUACUAUCACUAUUACUUCUCUUUUGCUAUGUAAAUCAUGGAACUAUGCCUCCUUUGUUCUCUCUUUAAUGGGUUUGAUCCGUGUUUAACAUCCUUAUUCAAUGCAUAUUUGAACAUGGGUUCCAAUAUCUGAUACUCUAAAACCCCUCUAAUACAUGGAAACCUUGAGAAAAAUUGAACACACAUCCGACACACAGCCGAAGACUAGUAACAUGAAUAGAUAUUUUUCUCUAUAAACAAUCAUUUUGGUGCUUGCAUUAUUUACAUAUUAAGACUGUUUUAAUACAGGAAUUUAUGAGCAAUCACAAGGAUCCGGUUAUGAGCAGCGGUUACAGAGACACGAGUUAUAGGUCCUCGUUUUCGCAGUUAGGCAGCUCAUCUGCACUUUCAUCCCAACCCUAUGGUGGAUAUGGGGGAUCUUCAAGUGUAAGUGGCUACUCUACUUUUAGGCUUUAAGAAAAUUAUCAUUUUACCUUAAAUUCACUUUGGAGUAUGAACUUGAAUGAGUGUGUUUCUCUGAUGGGAUUGACAACGGGGCGGGACGGGGCGAGUGAGGAGUGCAGACUCGGGUUAAGUUUCAGAAUAUAUCUAUAAACUUAAUAUAAAUUAUAUACAUAUAUAUAUUUAUAUAUAUGUAUGUAAAAUUAUUAGUUCAUAUUAAUGCUUUCUUGAAAACAUUUGAUGUAAUAGGGAUACAAGUAAAAUAUGUAAUGAUUUACAUCCAAGUUUGACACUCAAAAACUUUAAACAUUGAACCUUUUUUGCCUAAUUCUACUUCAAUUAUCUGAUAAUAAUAAUGCCAUAAGAUUAUCUAAUUAAUUAUCUUUAUAUUUGUAAUUGUACCCAAAAAAUAUAAUUUUCUCUAUUAUGUCCAUUUACAUAAUAUUUAUUGUUAAAAUACUGAUACACACAAUAUAUGUUAAAUUAAAAGUAAGUAAUGCUUAUUCCUCAAAAAAAAAAAAAAAGUAAGUAAAUAAUGCUUAAGAAAUAAUUUUUAAUUUUCUAAAUAUAAAAAUUAGUGUGUACUAUAAUGUAUUAAAAAUAUUUACAAUAUAUUAUUUUACGUAUCAUUUUAAAUAUAAUGUAUGUAAAAGGAAUGCAAGUACGAUUUUAUUACCAUAAUUUUGAAUUAUAUUAAUAAUAGUAUCUAAGAAAUUAAAAGUAUAAAAAAGAUAAUUAUUAUUUCUACAAGGAUUAAAUAGGCAUUUUAUCUUUAUUUUAAUAUUAUUUUAGUCAAUACAAUAUAAUAGCGUCUUUUAUUUCAUUUAACAAACCAUUCAUAAUCGAAAUAAAUAGCGUUAUUCAAUAUUCAAUAAUUUUAUAUUCAAAUUGAAUUUUUUUUUCACAUAUUAAACAUUUAUUAAAUAUUCAGUUAAUUUUACAUUUAAAAUGAGUAAUUUCACACAUGACCCAGUAUGUUUUUCCCACCUAUUUUUAUUAUUAAUAUUAAAAAAAAUGUUUAAACAAUAAAAUGGGUUGGUGAGGUUCAUGAAUAUCAUGCGCUUAAUGAUGAUUGAUUUCUGUACCCAAUUUGAUCUUUAAAUAACACCUUUUAUAAAUAAUUAUAAUAAUAAAUAACGAUUGUGAACCCAAGUUAAACAUAUUUUAUAUAAAUAUAAGUGAUUAAGUUGUUUAGAUUCAAGAUAUUCAGUGUUGUUGGAAUUGGAUUAGAUCAGGUCAGUUAGGUUGAAAUCUAAAAUCGUGAAAAAGAUUGAUAGUUGCACUGGUUGGGUUUUGUAACAAUUUUGGAAUUUUUAUUAACUUCUAUGAUUUUUUAAUUAUGGUUAGACUUGUUGAAUUAAAAUUUAAGGAAUAUUCCCUUUUUAGAUAAUUUUUAAAAUUUUAAAUGAAACUUCUAUUUUAAGAAUAUUAAAAAGAUAUUAACAUGCCUUGACCCUUAUUCUAUAAUUAUAAUAAUUUUUUUAUUUUUUGAUAAUUUUUUUAAUUGAAUUGGUUUCACUUUAUUUGGGAGAUUAACCUAAUAAAAAGAAAAAAAAAUAUUAUUAGAACUAAAUUUUGACACAAUCAGAUGGGGAGAAUUUUUUUUUCUUCUAAAUUAUUUUGGGAAAAAUAAUGUAUUAAAAAUAUGAGUAACAUUAUGUAUGUUUUUGGCUAUGUAAACAUACAUAAAAUUAAAAAAAUAUUAAUAUUGUUUGGUGAUAUUUUAUUUAUUUACACUUAAAAAAAGUGAUAGUUAAUUUGUAAAAUACAAUCUUAGAUUAAACUAGUAUUUGGAUAAACUGAAUAUAUUUCUGAUGAUUCUUUUUUCUAAUUUAGAGUUACAAAUUAAAUUAUCAUUACAAAAUAAGCAAAUUAUCCCAAGAUAAUUUUUAAAGUAAAAUUUAAAUAAUAAUUUAAUAUAACAUAAAUACAAUACCUGUCCAAGAACCUAAUUGAUUAAUUGCCUAAAUUGAAUUAUUAAUUAAUGUGUUGAAAAUUAUAUAUCAAAUAAUGUUAAUUAAAUUUAGAGAAUAAAAAUGUUAAAUUUAAGGAAUAAUUAAUAUAUCAAAAUUCAAAUAAAUAAAAUAUUAGUAAUACAUCUAAUCUGAUUAUGGUACGCCCAAUGACUACAUAUUAUUAACUUUGCUUUAGUGAUCAUAUUAUUAUGUUCAGUAUUUAUUUUUAUGCGUUAAAUAAAUUAAAAAAUAAUAAUUUUUUGACCCUAUGUUUGGAUAACUUUGUUCAUUUAUUUAUUUAAGGGAAAGUUAAUGGGAGUUUAAUACUCGGUUGCUUUUCUUGAAAUCACUUAAUUUUUAUUUACUCCAAUUUGUAUAGAAAAUUAAUGAAAGGAAAGAUAUUUCCCUUCCUUUUUUUAAUUUUAACCAUCCAAAUAAAAUAAACCAUUAUAGACAAUCAUUUCUUUAAUUUUCCAUAGUUUAACCAAACAAAAGUUGUGGAAAGUACUUCCCUUUCUUUUAUUAGUUUUAACCAUCCGAAUGAAAUAUUGCUUAACCUUUCCUUUAUCUUCUUUUACAAUUAUUUACUCAAACAUAGUGUUAAAGUGGUAAGACUAUUCUUGAACUGAUCAUGGUUGUGGAUUGGAGCAAUAAUAAUACGAUCUAGCUUGGUGUGCGGUUGAUUGAUAACAAGGUGUUGUUAUGAGUAUGAGAGUCAAUGCAUGGAUACAUGUUAGAGAACAAUGAAUUGGAUUGACUCGACAAGAGAAUGCUUAUUGGAUUGACUCGACAAGAGAAUGCUUAUUGGAUUGUUAUGUGAAGGUCACAAUGAUUCUCAUAAUGCUAAUGGUGUAUGUGAUAUUUGGACUUGAGGUCACCAUGGUUCCCAACCUCAGAAGUCUAUUCGGUAAUUCAGAAAUAAAAGAUUGGACGUUACUAGUAUGAUUGUCUUGUGAUUUAUUUUCAAUCUAAAGAUCAUUGACGAAGGGAUAGAUUGCUUGAUAACGUUAUUGUGGAAAAGUUUUGUUGAAAUUCAUAUCCCUAUUUUUAGGCCUUCAAGAUUCGAUUAGUAAGGUUUCAAAAUCAUAUCGAUGGUCGAAUUGGUCAAACCAUCAGUUUACAAAUAGAUUGGUUUAAUCUGUUUAAAUAAAUAAAUUAUUAAAAGGUUUGUAAAAAUUUAAAAAUAAUAAAUUAUUUAAAAAAUAGAGAAUCAUUUUAGUUGGUCCAAUUGUCAAUUCAAUUAGGGUUUUAGCUCGGUUCGCGAUGUCUAACCCUUUUCUAGAUCGAUAUUCCAAUUGUUUUUUUGUUUUGAUCGAUUGGUAUGGUUUAAACAACAUUAUCUAUUAGCAUUGGUAGAAGGUUGAUGGUGACCUUUUGUCUUUAAAUGAUUCUCUUUGAUCAACAAUUAGGCAUAUGACAUAAAAGUUGGGAUGGAUGCAUCUUAAUUCGAUUUACGCUUAUCGAUCAAAAGUGAACCAUUCACUCUCUUCCACUUAGAUUUGGUAUCUCGCACUUGGAUUUGUUGGUUUGGGCUUGUCAAUUUGUUUUUUCACUAUGUCGAUGGUGUUUUAGCGGCCCAAUAGCAAUGUUAAAACCUUGAGUUCGAGUUUAUUUUGUGUUAACACAUGACACUAAUUGGAUUUUGAUGAGUUUUCGAUUAGAUUUAUUUUGGUUACUUUUGGUUUAAUAUUCGAUUUACUGAUUUUAUACUCCCAAAUUUAAUAUUUUAGUUAGUAACAAUGGUUAAGUGUUAAUGCCUUUUAUUGCUUACCCUAGUCAAGCCCUCCUCUAUACAAUGUAGGUUUUGCCAAAGGUUGGUGCCUAACCAUUUUAUCCUAAUAUAUUUAGGGACUUAAAGGCAAGUAAGUUGGUAGGUUCAUUAGAUGAUUUGAGUGGUUAUUCAUUAGCUUUUUUUGGGAAUUACAUAAGAUGUAAUAAUUUGUAAAAAUUGCUUACCUAAAUAUCUAUAAUAUUAAGUGAUUGGCUAAAACUAUUUUAAGAGGAGGUGAAGUAUAGAUUUUGAUCUAUUAAGAAUUCUUUAAUAAGAAUUUUCGAGAUUAAUAGUGACCAUUAUUAAUUAUGAAUAAAAUAGUGAGUAUCUUUUAAUAAAGUCUUGUUUUAAGUGAUCAUAUCAUGGUAUUUUACUUUGUGCAUUUUUGUGGUUAUAAAUUACCAUGGCAUCAAAAGCAUCUAACAAGAGGCAUCUUAAUGAUAUGGUAUACAUAAAAUGUCUAAUGCUUGCCACUAUGACUUUAAGCUUUAAAACCAACAUGAGGACAUGGUCGCAAAUGAUAUGAUCGAGCACCUAAAAUAGUUUUUCAGGGGCAAGCACGUCAAGAUUGGUAUGGGAAUUUUAAGGCCCUACUUCAAUGUAAAAUGGUAGAGGGAACUCAUGUUCUCAAGAUGAUAGACUACAUAAAAGUUCCUGCAAGAGUUGGCCACUAAUGUUGUCUUGCAAUUAUUCUCGGGCAGUUAUAGUCAGUUCAUUAUGAAUUACAACAUGAACGAGACAUAAAAAUCUUUGCUAGAGUUGUUUAGCAUGUUGAAAACAAUUGAGGCAAACUUGAAGAAGCUUGUACUCAAGGCUAUACUAAUGGUUUGAAGGGGUAAGGGCAAAAGUAAAAUACUGAAAAGAUAGUGCUAACGGCAAGUCUAAGUGCUUUAAAGUUGCAUUGGAACCAAAAGGUGAAAGAAGCUUGUACUCAAGGCUAUACUAAUGGUUUGAAAGGGUAAGGGCAAAAGUAAAAUACUGAAAAGAUAGUGCUAACGACAAGUCUAAGUGCUUUAAAGUUGCAUUGGAACCAAAAGGUGAUGUGGUUAAAGAAGGUAAGUGCUUUCUCUAUGAUCAAAUCAAAUGUAGGAAGAAGAGUUCUACUUAUAUUGAGAAACUUAUGAAGAUGAAAGGAAGUAAGGCUUUUGGUUCAGGUAUUUUUGUUGUUGAAGUUAAUUUGUUUUGUACUAGUUAUUUGGUAUUUAUUAUCGAACGUGGUUUUCACAUAUGUGCUUUUGUACAAAGACUACAAAGGAUAUAUAUGGAAUAAUAAGUUUAGAUGCUAGAUGUGGUUCUCAAUACUUUGUUACUUUUGUCGACGAUUUCAAUUGUUAUGAGUAUGUUUACCCUAUGUUCCAUAAAUCUAAAGCCCUUGAAAUGUUUAAGGACUUCAAGGAUGAAGUAAAAACUAACUAGGCAAAAGUAUCAAGACUCUCGAUUAGAUCGAACCAGAGAGUAGUUAAGCUAGGAGUUUGAUGACCUUUUCAAGGAAUGUGACAUGGUUUCACAAUGUACUACUUUUGGUACUCUACAAUGGAGUGAAGUGUUUGAAGGGAGGAAUUCAACUCUGUUAGAUAUGGUUUGAUCAAUGAUGAGUCAUACAAAUGUUUGUACUUUCUUUUAAGGAAAUACAUUAGACUAAGAUGCUUUUACACUAAAUCGUAUUUGAUCUAGAUGUGAUUUUGUGAAGCUUAUGUUAGAUAUCAGAUAUUUACUAAACUUAAACAAAAAUCUAAUAAAUACAUCUAUGUAAAAAUCCCAUCAAGGACAAAGUAUUAUUAGUUGGACAUGUAUCAUAAAAAUGGGUUCAUAUUUAGAGUGGAAAGUGGAAGAAAGAUUGAACUUAAAGAAGUUUAAGGUCUAUAAGACUUUAUUGAACCGAAGGUAGAACAAUAGCAAGCUCUACAAGUUGUGGAACAAAACUUAUGAAGAAACACAUGCAUUGUAUAGGUGUGUAAGAUAACAUCAUGAGUUUAAGAGAUAUGGAUUUCUUACUAUAAUGUAUGGUGAUGUUCUUCUUAUGGAUUAAGAUGACCUUGUGAAUUGUUUUGGCUACAGUAACUUGAAAUCCAUAUUCCUAUUUUUGGCCGUUCAAAGCUUCGGCUAGCACGAGUGUAAGGAGGUUGGUGGAUUUCGAUUUCAAAAAGACUUUGAUUGUUGAUCUAGUGGAUGCAUAGAAGAUGGUACGAAUGAAUUGUAGUUAAAGGUUUGUGAAAGCAUUUUUCGAUUAUGUGAAUGUGUCAUCUAGAUUCGAGCUACACUCAUCAAUUGAAGGUAAACCCUAUACACGCUCCCUUUCACUUGAUUCAGGUUUCUCACAAUUGGGGCCAUGAAAUUCGGCUUGUUGGUUUGUUCUUCCACUACUCCAAUGGUGCUUUGACAACACAACAAAUAACAACAAAAACUAGCAUGUAUAUUAAUGCAACAAUAAGUGGCUCAAAAUUUGGAAUUAUUUAGUAUCAAUUAGACACAACAAAUUUGAAAACAUGAUAGUGACUCAUGAACAUAAUAUAAAAAAAUAAUAAUAAUAACACAAUUAAGGGCGAGGCCUGGAACCUUUGGGGAGAAAUUAAGUUCAAUGUUUUUAUAAGAGCUAAAAUGUAACUUCACUAUUUCAUUAGCUUAUAGUUUUAUAAUUUUUGAAUGAUUAAAUUAAAAUUUUAGCAGUUUAAUGGGCCAAACAUGUAAUUUUUCAAUUUAAAGGGGUUGGAGGCCUUUGUUAGCCGCUUGUCGUCGCCCUUGAACACAAUGAUAACAUAUAAAUACUUAAAUAAAUAUUAAUUUUAUCAUAACCUAUAUAAUAAUGAGUAUGGUUCCCAUCCUAUGCUUCGUGUUAAGUUAAUUAUCUUUUGUUGUCAAAUUAUUAAGUAAAACUUUGAAGGUUAAAAUAUGUUCAAUGUCAAUGUCAAUUUACUUCUUCAUACUUUUAAACCCUUUUAUUAAAUCAAACGAGUAAAUCCAUAAAAUUUAAUUCAAGAUUUUCAUUAAUAAGAGUUCACUUUAUUUGUUUUAUUAUGUUUAAAUUUAGGAUUUACUAUCUAUAUUUAGUUUGACAUAAAUUGGUACAUAUGCUAGACUUGUCUAAGUGUCAGGAGUCGGGUCGGGCUUGAGUAAGAAUUUUUACAAUAAUGAAAAAUAUUUUUUAUUUAAAUUUAAUUAUAAAAAUAUAUAAAAUAUCAAUUAAAAUAUUUUUUUAUAUUUUAUUAAUUUUUGAAUAGUGAAAGAGGUUUUUUGCGCGGGUUGUGCCAAUCUGAAAAUGGGCUUGGACUUGAAACUUUUUAUGGAAUUGAGCCUCAAUCUGGCUUGGCCCAUGGACAGUUUUAAUCCACGUAGGCGAAUCAAAGGGGGAAGAUAGGGACUUUGGCCCUCCACAAAAUGGAAAAAAAUUGUUUUGUGAUCUCCUUAUAAAUGAUAAUAAAAUAAGUUAUUACAUGAUAAAAUUACACUUUUGGUCACUCAAUAAUUUAUAAUUCAAUUUUGCCCUCCUAAAAAAUUCGUGGCUUCACCUUUGUUAGUCCCUCUACUUUUAUAGAAUCGUUAGUUUGUCCAAAUUAUUGGCACCUUAAUUAUUUCAAUUAAAACGCUAAUGCAGAUUUUAUUCUAAAAAAUAUGCAUUCUAACUUAUAAUGUUGAGAUUGAUUUUUUUUUGUGUUAGAUGUUUUUAAGAAAAAAUUAUGUCUACAUUUUAAUCGAAAUAAUUGAGGACAAUAACUGUUUGAAUUAAAUAAUGUCAUUAUUAAAGUAGAAGAUCAAAUUAUGUCAAAUUAAAAUAUAAAAAUUAAAUCUCGAAUGUGAUCAUAAUAGAGGGAUUAAAAUUGAAAUUUUAUUGUUCGAUAUGAAUGAUAGGUUUGGAUAGGUGGUGGGGUGGGGUGGGGUGUGGUGCGUUUAGUUUAUUUUUUGUCUCAUGCUACCGUAUUUAAUCUCAUCGUACCACUAUUUUUACACUAACCGUAAGUUACAUACCUUCCAUCCAAAUCCACCCGAAGGCUCUAAAUCUUAAAGAAAAAAACAAAUAAAGGUAAAGUAAUGAUUUAUUUACUUAGGUGUUAAUUACAUUUUAGUUAGUUCUUAGUAAAUUCUAGUUUUACAAUUGUUUGGUAGACUUUUAAUAUUUGUAAUAUAAGAUAAAAAAAAUAGCAACGAAAUAAAUCUUAUAAUAUAAUUUAUUAUAAGAUCCUUAUAUUAUUAGAAAAUUAUAUUUUUAUACAAUUAUAUAUUAAAUGUAAAGUUAGGUAUCAUAUUAUAAAAAUUUCUUUUCAUACUUUCAAAUUAAUACAAAGUUCAUUAUUUUGGGUUAAAAAAAUUAUAACUAAACUCAAUAUAUAUUUUAAUUUUUAUUUAUUAUAUAAAUUUAUUUAGGUGAAGUUAAUAAAAAAAAUAUUACAUUUGAGGUAAAAUAAUUUAAUAUAAAAUUUAACUUUUUUUAUUAACAUAUAAAAUUUAUUAUAAAUCAACUCAUUUAACCAAAGCUUGUGAAUUGAAUUAGAAUUUUUAUUUAUAUUUUUAAUAAUCAUAUUAAUAAUAAAAUAAUAUGGAAUGAAAAAUUAAUAUAAUGAGCAAUAAAAUAUGAAAAAAAUGAUAAAAUUAGAAAUAUAAUGAAAAAUAUUAAUUAUUUUUGUCAAUUCAAAAGAUUUUUCAAACUUGUAUUUAUAUAUAUCAAUUUUUUCAAUUCAUUAAAUAAUGUAUUUUUAUUUCAUAUUAUUAAUGUAAAGUAAUAUAAUUUAAAUUGUUGAACAUAAUCAAAAUAUUUUAAAUAAUAAUAAAAAAUUCAAACCAUAAAUGAAAUUUGAAUGAAAAUAAUUAUGAAAUUAGACUUUUUCUUUUUGUGAUAUUUUAGCUUUUAAUUGAAUGAAAAUACUUACAUCUUGAACGAUAAUACACGAAUAUAAUAAAUAAUAAAAGAUAUUUUUAUUAGUUAAAAAAAUAUUUGAUUUUAUUUUUAUAGAUUGUAGAUUAAUAUCAAUAUAUGAUUUUGUGUUAUAUUGUUAUAUAUUGGAUUUACAUAAUGCAAAUUCAUAUUGUUAUGUAGGAAAUCAAAACUUAAAACUUUCAGAUCAGCUCCUAUCAUGCGUGAUGCUGCCAUGGCUUCAGGUUUCACUUAAGAAAUUUGUGGGAUUUCGCCCUUAAGAUAUUAGCGCCCCCAUCGGCGGAUAAACCCGAGAUCGCACCAUCCCUCAAAUGUCAAUCUCCCGACUCCGAGCCAUUUGAAUAUGUCGCAGCUUCUUGAAUAUGUCGGUUUUAUUAAGCUAAUGAAUCCGACAGGAAAAUGAGUUUAAUAUUUAUAGUUUAGGAUUUUGAUGGAACUUGAGUUGUUUAAGUGAGAAGCAAAUAUCGGUGUUAUCUGAAAGAUAAAUUACCAAAGCUGAAUGACUAGACAUGAGGAUGGGUGUAAGAAAGAGCAUAAUUGUAGAUCUAUCCAAGAGUAGACCGUGAAUUAAAAUUUUGAAAAUAUUUGAGUCACGGUUCGAUCUCAUUCGGGAAUAAUGUUUUGUUAAUUAUGAAUGAAGGAUGAGUUUUUUUUCUUUCAAUUGUGUUUCCCCUUCUUUUUUAUAGUUUAUAUAGCUCCGCUUGUACUUAUUCAAAGGUCAAGUUAUCAUCUAGGCUCAAAAGAUUUACUCAAAAUAUGAGAAGGUUUUGGCAAAAAUGUUAAGCUCUACAAAUGAGCUUGAUUAAGAUUAUUGCGCUUGUAUCUUAUUUAGCUCAGUGUUAAUCUCACACCUGGCUUGACUCAAAUAUAAAUUUAGUAAUUUUAAAUAUAUUUAUAUAAAAAAAUUGUCAAUACACCAUCGAUGAGUAAUUAUGACACUUUAUCAUUCAGUGAAACAAAAUAAAAAAAUCAAUAAUCAUAUCUUAAAACUUAAUUUAAACUUGUUAGUUCAAAAGCCCAAACUAUACUGAAAUGAUAAAUUGUUUAAUUAUUAACAAUAUUUUUAAAGUCGAACUGAUGGUCAAACUGGUUAGGUUAUUGGUUCGUCGUUUGAUCCAAACAGUUCGAUUAAAUAAAUUAUUAGAAACCCCAUAAAAAUAUAGAAAAAAAUUGAAUCGUUGCUUUUUAGUUUUGUUCAAUUGAUUUUGAACCUAAAAUUUUUCUCCAAAUUAAUACCUCGAUCGAUUUUCAAUCUAAUUGACCAAUCAAAUCCAUAAAUAGGUCAUUUUGACUCAAUUCACUCGAAUUUUUUUAAAAUUUUUAUUGAUAUUUAUUUCGAUUGAAUUUUUAAUUUUUUUAACUUAUUUUUAUAAUAUAAACUUUUAUUUUAAAGCUUUUGAACAUUAAUCGAUAAAAUUUUAAAAUCACUUUCAUAAAUAUUUAUAAAAAAAUUAUAUGAUAUUUUUUAGAAAAAAAAUAUUUUUAUAUAAAGCUCUUAAAUAAUUCUUACUAUAAAAAUAACAUAUUUAGCUUUACAUAAUCAAAAUUUUAAAUUAAAUUAAAAACAUUCUUUCAAUUUCUCAACAAUUCUAAUCAUAUUUUGAGUAAAAGAAAUACUUCAAGUAAAACCAACAGUUCAAGACUCCAUUUGUUUCAACAUAAAAGCUUUUAUGAAAAGUAUUUUCAGCUUUUUUUGAUGUUUGCUUUAUGUAAAAUAGGAUGAUCAACGUAAAAGGUUUUCAAUAAAAUGUCUUACCAAAUUUUUUCCGUAAAAUAAUUUUCAAACUAAUAAGACUAUGUUCAUUGUAAUACUCCCAUACUAGAGGUGAUCAUGGGCCGGGCCGGGCUCAAAAAAAUUUUGGCCCGCGUUCUAGGCCCGGCCUGAAAUAUGGGCAUGAAAUUUUGUCCAAGCCCGACUCAGGAAAAAAUUCCUAAGCCCGAGCUUGGCCCGGCCUUUUUUUUAAUAAACACCAAAAAUGUAUUUUUAAAAUAACAAAAAUAAAAAAAAGUAUUUUAAAAAUAUUUAAAAAAUAAAAAAUAAAUAUUUAUUAUAUUCGGGCCGGGCCAGACCCGGGCAAAAAAAGUGGUGCCCGAGGCCCGGCCCGUUUUUUAAACGGGUCUCAUUUUUUUGCCCAAACCCAUAUUUCAAGUCUAUAUUUUUACCCGAACCUUCUCAUAUUUCGAGUGAAUCUUUGGGUCGGGCCGGGCCGGGCCGGGCCGCCCAACCCAUGAUCACCUCUAGUUCUGAUUGAUCUAUGUUGUGGUGUGCUAGCCCCUGGGAUAACUCUGGUCAUUGCAAAGGUUGGCCUGAAGCAUGUCUUCGUAGUAUAAUCUAUGGUUGGUGAUGCACCACUAUUACCAUGUCAGUUUAUAAUUGUUCUUUUAAUAAAAGGUUUAAUUUUCUUUGUUUUUGAAACUUAAUGGCUUCAGGUUGAUUUAACGGUGGAACUCAUGGAGGACCUUUUGGGUAUAAUCCAGGUAUUAUUACAAAAAUAUGAAAGAAAAAGUGAGUAACUGAAAAAUGGAAUUCAAAGAUAAGUAAUAAGGCAUGUAGGUGUUCGAAUGAGAAUAAAAUUUAAGCCAAAGAGCUUUAUAUGUACGAUAUUUACAGUUUACAAUUGUACGGAAUUGCUUGUUAUGCUGUUAAUUGCUGGUCUCCUUGCACUUUCCAUGGUUGAGAAUUAAAUAAAAAAACAAAUCCAUGAACUUCUGUGCUUUUUAGAUUUUGAAGAUAUCCAAUCCAGAUUUCCAAGUAGAAUGCAUUUCAUUCCCUUUUUUUAAUGGCAAGGUUCCUGUUCCAAAAUUUUUAUCUCAAGUUCAGAAUGCAUUAUAGCCCAUCUGGCUUAAAUGCUUAACAGUUAUGGCAUCAUUGCAACAUCAGGGAUGCGAUAGGUGAAGUUUACAUGUCCCUUUGGCCAAACUGCAAAUCCAUCAUACUGCAAAAUAAGCAAACCUGUAGCUAAGGCAUGCAUCAUUCCUGGUAUUCCAAGAGAAUCAACCCAUGAAUAUAAGAUCCCUAGAAAUCUUACUUAUUUGGAAUGUCUGCGCAUGAGAGACAGUCAUUUUAUCAGAUAGUGGCAUGCCCAUCUGUUUUGAUCAAUUGGUCUACAAUCGAUGAUUAACGUAGUGUUAUCUGGAAUUAUUUGUUAUUUGCUCCUUGUUUGUUGUCCUGUUCUUGUAACCGAAGUGGUGGUUCAUUAGUUUUAGUUAUUACUGGUCCUAUUGAUAAAGGAGAGUGUUAAGUAGUUUGGAAGCAGCUUUAUGUUUCCUUUUCUGCAUGCACUAUGCAGUGAAAUUUGUUGCUUGCGACAUUCAUUUUGUUUAUUUCUCUUAUGUAAUGUAGUUGUAUUAUUUCUUUUAAAAUCUUCUGCAGGGGAGCCUGCCACUCAACAGCUCAUGCUCGUGCUCGUGCUGCACUUAAGUACAUAGUGCUGGGUCUGUCUAGUCACAUGGAUGAUAUACUUGGGAAGUAUAAGGUGCUAGAUUAUCCUUUUCUUACUCUGUAUUUGUGUGUGUUUAUUUAUUUGUGGAAACUGUCCAAUUUCUGUGGGAAAGGAACAGACUCAUCACCAUUGGCAUAAUACCUCUUUAAGAGAAAAUAUUUGAUUUCUUCUGGUUUACCAUCUAAUACAAUGUUCUCUUGUGGAACUGCUUGUCUUUUCAGGAAGUGAAGCACAAUAUAUUUGAUUUUAUCUUUGUAAAUCAUGUUAGUUGUGUUGUUAUUCGAUUAAUUUGGGUAAUUCGGUUAAUUUUUUACUAAAAAUAAAAAACAUAUAAUUUUCGGUUAAUUCGGUUAACCGACCGAAUUAACCGAAAAAAUUUCGGUUCGAUUAAUGGUUAAAAAUUUUGAAAGGUCGGUUAAUUCGAUUAAUGUUAUUUCGGGUCAGUUAACCGACUGAACACCCCUACUUAGAGGGAAUAUAUCUAAAUAUUUAGGUGUUUACUCGAACCUAAAAAUCAUUGACUUGAUAAUGAAGUUCAAGGUGUAGUGUCUUCUUAUUGGGGGUUGUGCAAAAGUUGACAUCGUUGCUUUAUCUUGGUUUGAAUGGGAAUAAACUUUCUGGCAGUGUACCCUUGGAACUAAGAUUUAUGUCCAAACUUUUGUAUCUAGACUUGUCUGCAAACCAAUUGAGCAAGUCCAUCCUUGAAACUUUCAGGUUAAAAUAAUCGGCUAAAUAUCUCUAUUAAUACUUGUAUUUUAUGAAAGUUGCGGAUUCAGUCCCAAUACUUUAAAUUGGGUUGGGUUUAUAAAUUAUACUAGAUUAGGUUUAUAUUAGGUUGGACUUAGGAGUGCUGGGGUGAGCCGCUGGUUGGGGAUUAGGUGGGCAGUAGGCUAAGCCUAAUACAUAUAAUACAUGAUAUUAGUUAUUAAGUUCGAUUAAUUUCGUUAAUUACUCGCUUUCGAGCCAAAUUAACCGAUAAUUGAGCUUUCAAAAAAGUAUUAACCAAUCUUUGAUCGAAUUAGAUUAGUUAAUUGACCGAUUAAUUUUAACCAAAAUUUAAACACCCCUAAAUCUGUUACUCUAAUAUGAUGAUCUUUAAAUUAUUUUUUUAUAAAUGUAUUUUUUUUAAUAUAAUAUAUAUUUAAAAUGGUAUAAAAAAAGUACAAAUCUACUAGUUAGUAGGAAUCCAACAAAUUCUUGUUUUUAAGAAAUAAUCGUGGAUGUUAUAUUUUGUAUAUAUGUUAUCACUCAAUCUAUAUAUAUAUAUAUUUAAAUUCAAAUCCAAAAUUUAAAACUAAGUUCCCAAACACUAUAUAAAUUGGAUAGUAAAAUACUUCCAAAUAUAACCUUCAUUAUUAUUUCUAAACCCAUCGAUUUGUUAAAUGCUUAUUUAGUAAAAAAUUCAAAUUUCUUAAAUUAUUUAGGGCUAAUAAGCAAAAUUGUGUGAAAUUUGAAACUCACCACUAUACUUUACUCUCAUCAAUAUUUUAAAAUUUUAAAAUCUUUUAUAAGACUAAAAUAAUAAUUUUUUAUUUUAGGGAUCAGACCCACUGCCAACCCCCUGAACUCGCCUUUGACCACAAAUGUUUAAUUUAAUUUUCAAAUACAUUUAUUUAAUUUUAAAAAAUAAAAAUUCAAACCACUUAAUGGGUGUUAUUUGAAGGGCAAGAGAGAUGACCUUAUGAAAACUGAAUAAAGUGCAAAAUCACAAUACUAUAUAGUUUUAACUUUGUCAAUAUUUCGGUAUCCAAAAUGAAAGCACCCAAUUACAUCAACAACUUCAAAGUUUUAACCAAACUAAUUGAUGGCGUCUUCAAAGUCUCUCUUCACUAUCAACAUGGGUCUUGACUCAACUCCACGCACCAACCCGUUCCAGCUACGGCCUAAAAGGGAGGGGGAAAAAAAUCUGAGAAUAAGAAUAUAAUUUUAUAUCAUUGCAACGAAAAUUGGAAAAAGUUAAAGGGCUUGAUUGAUUGAUUGAUUGUAAUUCAAAUGUUCAAGGGCUCAAUUGAGUGAAAACAAAAAAGUUCAGGGAGCUGAAUUGAUUUUUUAAAAAAGUUUAGGGGUUUUUCUUUACCCUUUAGCCCAAAUUAAAGUAUAUUUGAUUGAUAUAUAAUAUAAUCAUUCUGAUCCAUAAAAUUAAUAAUUAAAAAUAUGUACACACACAUAUCCAUCAGCAGACCACAUCAACAGGCUCCAAAUGAGCCCUAAAAAUCAACAUUGUUAAUAAUAAUAAAAGCUUCCAUGACCUUUUACAGCAAUGAAAAGUGAGUAAGAUUAUUAUUAUUAUAACUCACAACUACCAACAAAACAAACACAUCGGAGAAACGAUCUCCAUAAUCUAUUAAUGGUUUUUCAGAUAUACAUCUGCAGUCUGCUGCAUUCAUCUUCAUAUGUAAUUCAUUCCAUUUUCAUUUUUGACUCCUUACGUGUUGGAGCUUCAUCAGUCAAGCACGCAAGAACAAAAUCAAAGAAACAAGGAAAAAACAAUACAGAUAUAACUAUCACUCCCAAACCUUCUUACUUUCCAAGAAAACAUACGAUACAAAACCAGAAAUAGGAUGGCAAAAUAUUUAACAAGAAUUUCCAAAUAAACAUUUUUGUCCCCCUACUAAUUACUUUUUCUCUACUUCAAAUUCUCUAGCUGUAGGACAAAGUAAUUCUCAUUUAUUAGAGUUAUAUUCUUAAGUAAUAUUUUGUCCACUCUCUUACUGAUUUCAACAAGCUAAUAGCUCACUUAGUAAUAACAUUUACUAUCUCAAAUCAAAUUCAGCCUAUUGAAUAAAUCUAUCCUCACUUAGUAAUAGUUAUAUUUUCUGCACUUUCAUUUUGCUUCUUAUCAUAUGUAUGUUGCAAAAAUUUCUGUUCAGUAAGAUGAGGAAACCUUGUAAACCAGUAAAACAAGAUGUUGCAAGAAGACAGAAAGGAAGACUAAAAGGAACAAGUGUGGUGAUGAAGGUUGUACGUUCCCGAGGCCAGUUAAAUCAUGAUGAUCGUACCAAUCGUACAGAAUUUCUUGAGAGCCAAAACUUCAUCUCUAGGACAACUGUAUAGCCUUUUCGAGUGAAGUUAAAAGGGCUGGGGAUUUAUCACGAAAGCACUAAUAUGAAAGUAACACCAAUCAUGAGUAGUGGGAGGGACGGAGGUUAUCAAAAGUAAUUGGGGGGGAUGGAAGUCAAGUAGAAGUUACAACCUAAGUAAUAGUUUGGUCAUAGGUAGGCCUGCUCACAAGUCGAGCCUAGACAGGAUACUAACACCUUUCACGUUUGGCUAGGCCCCUGACCCAGCACAAAAUAUGGGCAAUAUCAUUCGACUAGACCCAACCCUAAUUACCAAAAGGGAGCCAUGCUUGCCCCAACACAACCCACCCAAUUUCUUUUUCUAAUUUUAUUUAACUGGCAGUCAAGCUUUACUUUGUUUACUUAUUGUUAAAGGUUAUCAUAGUCCUUACAAUAUUGGCAUUUCUACAUGUGGUAUCCAUCACCGACAAAAGUACAUCAUUUUACUAAAUCUUCACUUGCCUAUAGGUAAUGACCUCGCUCUGAUAUUUUAGGCAGAAACAUUGUCAUAGUCUACCAACUUCCUAAGUAGGAAUUUAAGCCUUUGUUUAGAUCAGGAUAUUUUAUUUUCUUGUUGGAACAAAAAACUAGAAGCAACUAUUGGGGGUAAGGCAAGACAGAACUUGAGUUUUAGUCCUCUAAAGGUGCUAGGAGCCUCGUACCCAUUUAAAACAACAAAUAGAGCAGACAUUUUCACAUAAUGCAAAUCCGACGCCUGAUUCGUCUACUCCAUACCUUAGCAUUACUCAAGUUUUAUACAGGAAGUUCCAGGCUCACUAUCAACUUCUUAGCGACAACAAGAGCAAACAAAAUGCAAUGACAAGCAGUAUUGGCAAAUGCAAAAUCCGUCAAUUUACAAGGAUGGGAAUAAUUAAGAUGUGGUAGUGAUGUGAAGGGGGCACUAACCUUCAUUUAGAGCAAACCAAAUGACAUGGCAAGCAGCAUUGGCAAAUGAAUAAUUAUGAUUAAGUAGUGAUAUGAAGGGGGCUCUAACCUUCAUUCAGAAAAACCAUAUACUAGAAAUAUCUUUGGGAUAUGGAACAGUGAUGGCAGAUUGAUGCUCUGCAUGAAGGGGGCUCUAACCUUCAUUCAGAAAAACCAUAUACUAGAAAUAUCUUCGGGAUAUGGAACACUGAUAGCAGAUUGAUGCUCUGCAGCUGCAUGAAUCCCUCCGUGCUCGUUGCACCAAAUAUUAAAUCUUAUGUACUCAAAAAUAUCGAGAUGGUUGACCCAACCCAAAAUAAGCUUGCCAUUGCCCAAAGAUACAGAGUGCUUUCCGGUGGUGGAGCCACUCGAAAUUCUGAUGACCAUUUGACGGGCAAAUGUUUCUUAUCAAGCAAAUUAUACGCCUCCAAAGAACAUUUAUAAAUGAAAGUAUACAGCAAAUCGUCCACGAUUGCCGCUGAGCCUUACCAGUAAGAAAAUUUUUGUUCGAGGCAAACCCAUGAUUUACGAUCGUAGUAAUAAGCGUAAAGAGUAUCACUGGCAUCGCAGUGCACCAAAAUUCGAGAUCGGGAAGAAUCUAGAACAGGAACACAUACCACACGUAUAUCGAUAGCUUCCGGAGGGGGCGACAAUGGUUCCCAAAUAUCCCCACUUAUAUCGUAAACCUCGCCAAAAGAUUCAGAACCCAUACAUUCGAAGACGUAAAUCAUUCCUUCAGCAGCAAGAACAUGGGGAUAAGCCCGAGGGAACAACAUAGAAGUAGUUUUUCUCCACCCACGUUCAAGGUCCUUCAAAUCUAAUUGGAAAACAUCGUUUACUCCAUCAUAACCACGAAAAUUAGCAUCAUUUUCGCGCAUUCCCCCAAUAACGUAAACGUGGUUGCCACAGGAAACGGCAGUGGAACAUGAAGGAGCAGCAGGUGGCAUCGCCUUAAUAAAGACUUUAUUGCUUUCCAGAUCAAUAAAGUGCAAACCGAGCGUUAUUUUACCAUCGGUACCCGGCCGUUUCUCGACGAUGGCCCUGAUCAGUUCAUCUGGCUCUCGCCCAUCAAAGUAACUGGAGGAAUCACUAGUAUCGCCGCUCAUGGUUCACCCUCAGCUUCGCCUUUCCAGAUCCAAAAUCGCUUUUAGUUUUAGGGCUUCUAGCUUGGGUUUUUUUUGUUUUUAGGUUUUUUUUUUUAAUUUGGUUUGGGUUUAGUAGUCAUUGACAAAAAAAAGGUUUAUAGUUAAAUAAAUUUGUUAACAAGUUAGUAAACGGUUGAUAAUUUUUUUUAAUAGUAAUUUGCUUGUUUUAGUUGUUAAUUUCCAAAGUAAAGAUAUUGUCAAUAUGUGACUGUUUGUAUUUUAAAAUUAUUUAUUAAUUAUGAUUAUUUUUAAUGAAUAUAAAAUAAUAUUAUUUUGUAUCAAAUGUUAGAGAUUUGUUAAAAUUUGAUCAAUCAAUUGAAUCAGGAGUUGAUAGGUAUUCUAAUUUGAAUGAGACAAAAAAUCGGUUAGAGGUUGACAUGAGCAAAUUGAAUUAAAAAAAUCGGAUUAAAUUGACUUAAUAUGAUGGUUUAGAGUAUUAAAAAAGAUGUGGAAAUGUGAAGCUUAAAGUUUUGGAUUUUUUGUUUAUUCAAUAAAUAAAAAUGUUGAUUUUUUAAGCUGAUAGCUUUGUGUAUAUUUAUAUAUAUAUUGCUUUGCACGUGCUUUCUGCGAUAAUUAUAUUUGUAGGUGUUUGGCUAGCUCCCAAAAUCCAACAUUAUUUUUUAUACGAGUUUCCUUUUGUGACUUUCACUGCACUUUGUCUCUAUUCACAUGGUUUCCCUCAAUUGGUUAGAUGCGUUGAAGUUGGAUUCCCGGCUUUGAUAGCAGUGAUAUUCCUUUCUCAAAAUAUUGACAACGGCUAGUGCUUAUGAUAAUAGUGUUUAAAAAACUGAGUUCACCUGUCGUACCGAUCGUUCUGGCCUCAUUAGUGUUGCAUCUUGUCCUUCAGGAAAGCUAGUUCAAAUUGAGCACCCUUGUCGGUGAUCGAAUCGGGUCAAACAUCUCUUAGAAUCAAAGUUACUAAUGGGGUAGUAAUUGCUACUGAGAAUAAAUUGCCUUCGAUCUUGGUUUAGCUGUUAAUAAAAUACAAUGUCUGACACCAAGUGUUGAAGUUGUUUACAGUGUUGGGCAGGUUAUAGUAUUUUGGAUCAAGUGUAACAUAAAGUCUUUCUAAACUUGAACAGAACUUCAGGAAGCAAAGUAAGGCAUUGAUUGGUUCUCUGUCCAUUAAACAAUCAAUCCACCAAAGCUAUUUUAAUUCGCUCAAGUAACAUUUAGGUCGCCUACUUGAGAAGGCCACAAUGAUUUCUUUUACAGAGACCAUAACGAUUACGAGAAGGGAAAGGGAGUCUCAGUCUCAAAGUCCCAUGUCUAAUGCGUUAGAGGACCUUGUCUAAUAUCAACCGUGACAUCUUCCAAAAAGAACUAACAAUUGCCCCAAAAAGCAUCUUUUGCCUCUAAAUUGAAAAAACACUAAGUUCGGACAUCGGAUUGAAUAGAGAGCAGCAAAAUGAUUCGGUAAAGGAUGUCAUCAAGUAAAUGACUAAUGAAAUCAUUUGGGUCCAUACUAUUAUUACUUUUCAGGAUAUUGACAUGUUUGUAUGAUUUCUCUUGAUUAUUAUGCAUGCACUUGCACCUCUUGAUAUAAGAUAAGUUAUAAAUAGCCUUUGAAGUUGGAUUUUGCGAGUAUAACUAUGGGUUUCGAACUACUGUCGAAUCUGCACUUGUUGAGAUAGUCAUAUUUAUGUUGGUAUCACUUCAGGCAUAUAUAUUUUCCUCCCGCGAGUUUGAUUAUCUAUCACGAUACCUUGGAUUGGAACAAAAUGAUGUUAUUGUACGUGAGCAACAGGAAAAGCUACUUGGAAAACUGCAUAAUAAGGAGCAUCCUUGGAUUUUUUGCGCCACACCUCUUCAGUGAUGGCGUUUUCCAAGUACAAUUUAUUGAAAAUCAGACAUUUAGUAAACUUGUAAAUUUCUUAAAUAUUGCACCAGAAUAUUUCGAUAUGAAUAAGCAUUCAUCUGUUGACGAUGAGGUUUUUUAUGAGAUAGAAUGCCAAAAAACACGAAAUAUCCAUUCGAAUUAUUCAUCUUUUCUUGUAAUAUCCCGAAAAUUACUAAAGUAAGAACGUAAGAUAAUAUUCCUGAUAUAGUGUGAUAAAAAGGGUAAUUUUGACUUAUGUCAACAUUGGGAAGUAUAUUAUGACAUAUUAGUUCAAGAAAGGAUUAAAUCGUAAAAAGUGAGAAAAGUUUUGUUGCCCAAGAGUAAAUACUCAAAAUUUGAGGGUUAAAGUGUAAAUAUGAAAAAUUUGAAGGACCAAUAGUGUAAAUAUUUUAAUGGUGGAAUAAUCUAGAAACUAAGGAAAAUGGAUAAAUUAGGACCAAAUUGAAAAGAUAAAGAAUUUUGAGGGAUUAAAUUGUAAUUUUACCAAAUUAAGUGAUGACUCAAUGAUGGAAUUUCAAAAGAUUAUAAAGGGUAAAAUAGUCAAUUAGAAAGAGAGAGAAUUCUGAAGGUAACGAUGAUGUUUGUGAUAUUUUUAAUUAAUUAAUUAGAUAAAUGUUAUUUAAUUAAUAUUUUAUUAAGAUUUUUAGUAUUACUUUAUUAUUAAAUGAUUAAUAUAAAAGGGAGGAAAGGUGAUGAGAAAUCAUCAUCUUUUUCAUGCAUCUCACGUUGAAGAUAAGAGAGGAAAGAAAGUUUUACUUUCUUUACAAUUUGGUCCUUUUACCAAAAAUUCACCAUUUUCACUUAAAAAUCAAAAGAAUUUCCAUAUCCAUCAAGAGAGAAAGAUAACAAGGAGACUAUGGGGAGCUAGAAUAUCAAGUUAGAUUCAAGAAAUAGAAGCUGGAGGAGAGAGAAAAUCAAGUUAAAGAUUGAAAUCAAUAGCACAAGGUAAGAACAUCAAGAUUUUUAUAUACUUUUGAGUUUGAUAUUAUUGAAAAAGUAGGAAAUUAAUGUUAAGGUAGAGUUUCAUUAUAUAAGGUUCUAUAUUAUUUUUAUGUUAGUAAAGGGAAAUAAGAGAAAGUGAUGGAAAAUAUUGAAGAGAAAGGAAAGGAAAGUGUUAUAAAUUUAGUUAUCAACAUUUUACACUAAAAUAGUUUUGAGACAGCAGCAGUAGUCUGACUUUGAAAAUCUACCAAAAAUCGUAUAAAUGGAAUUAGAGGAUGAACAAAAUGUGAAAUUAAAGCUUAUUGAGUCUAGUUUUUCAUAGAAGAGAUGGUGUAAGCAGUGGAAUUGUAAAUUAUUAUAUAUAAUAGGUUUUGUGAGAUAAGGUCAGAAUGAUUUUGGGUUCCCCUGUACUGACUUUGGAAAAUCAUCAAAAAUUGGAUAAAAAUAAUUAGAGGCUUAAAUUUAUAUUUUUAAAUCCUAAAUGAGUCUAUUUUCAAUAGAAACAAACGGUAACAUCAUUAAAAUUUUGUACGAGGAGAUAAUUAAUUUUUAGUGAAGAAGGGUUGGAACUGUCAGACAGCAGAAUAGGGAUGAUUUUAAAGAAUAAACUAUACUUAGUGGCUAAACCAAAAAUUCUGAAAAUUUUAUGAUAAUAUAUGUGAGUCUAGUUUUAGAUAAAAUUAACGGAUCUCAAUUUGGAGUUCUGUAGCUCAAGAUAUAAAUAAUUUAGUGACUAUGACUCAAGUGGACAGCUUUGAAUGAAUAUAAAUAAAUGUGAAAUUAUAGAUAAUGUUACAUAUAAGCAUGUUAUAUAUAUUAAGGAUGUGGAAUGGAGAGGAGGAGGAGGAAAAUAUAUGAUUAUUCAACUAGCAUGAGUUUUUAUUAAAAAUGACCAAUUUACAUGUUUUAGGUUUAGGGACUAAAUUGAACAAAUGUGAAAGGGUAAAUUUGUAAAAAUGUCAAAAAGUGAUCAAAUUGCAUGAAAUAAAUUGUUUUAUUAUUUAAAUUAGUAAAUUGAAUGAAAUAUUAAUUUAGAUCAAGAUUGGGUGGAAAUUCGAGAAAAUAGAAAAUUACCAAAAUGUCCCUAAAUUUUGGUAUUUCUGCAAUUUAGCCUGGUAAGUUCGUGUGAACUAUAUUCUGUAUAAUUUUAAUUAAAAUGAAUGCUAUUUGGUGAUGAAUAUUAUAUAGAUAUGUGUUUUAUUAUUGGAAUUGAAUUAUUAUUGGUAAUAUGUACAAUUAUUAGAUGCAGUGAAAUGAUUAUCGGAAGCUCGAUUGUGGUUGGCAGGAAAUGUUGCAUUAUUUAUAUUGUGAAGAAUUAUAAAAGCAUGUUAAUAAUUUGAAAGUAUUAAUAAUUAAUGGAAUUUUAUAACGUGGUUCAAUAGGUUUACAAGUGUAUGUGUUCUGGUAAUGCCUCGUAUCCUAUUCCGGUGUCGAAAAUGGGUAAGGGGUGUUACAUUUCUGCAAUCCCAAAAAAGUUUUGAUACUAUGAGUUUGCAGCUGGUGUGGAUCUUUCGGAAUAUAUGGUCCCAAAUAUGAUCUGAUAUCGAUGUUAUGUGCUACAAUUUGGUUCUCAUCGCCUUCCUAAGGGACUUUAGUUUACUAUUUAUGGAGUAUCUUGCUGCUCUAUUCUUGCAUGCUCUAUGUGUGAGUAUAGAUCCGACUUAUAUCUUUUGGGCUGUCAAACUGAUUUACGAUCGCGAUUUUUGGCUUUCUUAUGGCUCGCUUGAUUUAAUAUCACGACCUUUGGCUUUCUGACAACUUAUGGACCUACGCUUCCAGCUGAUUAUUAAGGUUAGCAGAGUUAAGCUUGUAACCUCCGAUCUUUUGAGUUAACAGAGUUAAUCUCGUAACCUCCGAUCUAAUUUACAAACAAAUUCUAUCUUACCAGAAAUACAGAUGCAAUAUUCUGUAAUAUAAUUAUUGACUCUUGUAUCACACUAUCAAACAACAAAACUCACUCGAUAAAGCUUCAAAUUAAAACUUGUAUGAUUAACACAAAUUUGCCGCAAGGCAUUUGCCAUGGUGGAUCACUUGAAUACUUCACAGCAGAUGACAACCAGCUUAGCGGGCCAAUCCCUCAAGGGUUGAAAAUUUGCACUAGCUUGAAGAGAGCCUGCCUUGAAAAAAACUGACUUAGAGGUAGGGGUGUGCAUUUUUAGGGUAAAAUCGAAAAAAAUCGAUAAACCGACCGAAUUCGAUUAAUCGGUCAGUUAAUCGAAUUUUUCGGUCAGAGGUCGGUUAAUUAUUUGUUGAAUUUUCGGUUAACGGUUAAAUCAGUUCGAAAUGGGUCGGUUAACUGAAUUUUUACGAUUUAACCGAAAAAAUUAAUAAACAAAUUUAUAAUAUAUAAACGACAUCAUUUAUUUGGCCCCAAAUUUCCUUAGUUUUCCCCAAGUCAUAAUCAGAUUUCCCUAAUUUCCCAACUUCUUUCCGCCGUUUUCUUCACAUCUGAUUCUAGCUCCUCCAAGUCCUCUUCGGAGUCAGGCUCUGAUUCAGCUCACCAACUGUCGAUGCAGGUCUCAAAGGCGAUGGUUUGAAAUUGCUUGUUUUGUUUUUCUUCUGGAAGGACGUUAGGGUUUUGAAAUUUGAGAACUCGAAUCGAGCUUAGACGGAAGUCUUGUUAGUUUUAGAGGUAUUCUUUUUCCCUUUCUGUAAAUCCUCUUGAAUCAUCGAGAUAUCUUCAAUCGUGGUUAAAAAGUAGCAUCAAUAUGAUUGAGCCUUUUUGCUUUGUUAUGGUAGAUGUUACAUAAUGUAUGUAAAUACAUAUUUGGGUGACUUUAUGAUUGUAAUUGCAAAUCUAAAAGACCAAAAUAAUUUAUGUGAAUCAAUAUUGAGUGAUGGUUUAAGAUGUGUGGAUUUUAUUUUUGUACUUAAAGAAACAAAUCUGUUUGAUCUCAACUUCUUCUACAAGCUAAGGCUGCAUGUGUUCUGAUUAGAGGUGAUCAUGGGCAGGCCGGGCCCAAAUUUUUUUGGCCCGCGUCAUAGGCCCGGGCCUGACCCGACCCGAAAUAUGGGCCUAAAAUUUUUUCCAGGCCCGACUCGGAAAAAAUUCCUAAGCCCAUCCCUGCCCGACCCAUUUUUUAAUAAACACCAAAAAUUUAUUUUAAAAAUAAUAAAAAAGUAUUUCAAAAAUAUUUUAAAAUUAAAAAUAAAAUAUAUUUAUCUAUUAUAUAUUCGGGCCAGGCCGAGCUCGGGGCCAAAAAAGUGGUGCCCGAGGCCCAGCCUGUUUACUAAACGGGCCUCAUUUUUUUGCCCAAACCCAUAUUUCGGGCCUAUAUUUUUACCCGAACCCUCUCAUAUUUUGAGCGGGUCAUCAAACCAAGCCGGGCCGCCCAACCCAUGAUCACCUCUAUCCCAUACCCAACACGAGCAUCAGGUCAAACCACCGGGAUAUUACAUUUUCUAUUACAUUCUUCACUUAUUAAAUAUGUUCUCAUAAACUUUCACAACUUUUCAAUUUAGUCUAUUCUUAUUGUAAAAGUUCAAUAUUCACUAAUUAAUUACAUUAAAUCAAAUUUCUUUCUUGUUACACUUGAAUCGCAUAAUUUAUCUCAAUAUCUUGUUUCACAUAUCAAAUUUUUAUAUACUUCACUUUUAUUAUUUCAUCCACAUAUUUUCUCAAGUUUAAUAAUUUAAUCCUUGUCACCAUAAAAAUUUCAUAUCUUUCCACAAUUUCAUUUUUAUAAUACUUUAUGCAUAUUUCAUCAUCUCAUAACACAUUUGUUAAACUUUUAUCAUAAAUUUUUUUGUUUACAUACUGAAUUGUUUCACACUUAAAUUUUUGUAUAUUUUUCAAUUUAAUCCCUAUUGUCAAUAAUUUAUUUUUCAUUAUAUAAGCACUUUAAUCAAAUAAUUCAUUAUAAUAUUUUAUUUCACAUAACAAAUUUUAAUGCAUAUCACUUCUCUUGUUUCAAUUAUAAAUUUUACAAAAUUUAUAAUUUAAUCCUUAACAUCAUGUUGAUUCAUUAUUUACUAUAAUUUUACCUUAAUAUCACUUUGUAAUCAAUUUACUACUUAUCAUAAAUCUCAAAUGUAUGUUUAUUUCAUUGAAAAUAACUUUUAUGAAAUAUUUUUAACAAAUUUAUCAAACAACAAAAAUAUUUUACGCAGAUUCAUCCAAAUACAAAAAAAAAUUAAUUUUUCCAAAAAAAAAGCACUUUUUAAAAACCAUUUUCUCUAAAACAAAUGAAGCAUGCAUUUUCAGUCAAUUUCCACUAUAAAAAAAAUUCAGUAUUUAAUCGAUUGAUCCCCAACUUAUCAACACCCAACAAAAAAUAGUCAAUAGAAAUCAACAACACACCACCAUAACAAAAAUCCAUUUUAUUUUUAAUAUUAUUUUAUCACCAUAAUGCUGCAAUGCAUUUGAUCAAAGACAGUAUCUUCCUGCCUAAAUUGCUCAGAAAUUACAACCAGAAGCAUUAUGCCAUAAAUGCCACUCUUUAACCUGCAAAACAUAAAUUGUGAAAUGAUAAAUAUUUGCAACAUAAACCAACCAAAAUAAAAGCAUAAAUUAAAUACAAGUUUAUUCACAUAUCAGCCAUGGUUAUGUUUUAAAAUAGUAUAUCUAGCAGGAGUAUGUUAAAUUUUUUUAAGGGUUUUUUUUGGAAGUUUCUUGGAGAGGGUUAUGUCCUAGUACCAACAUCCAGAUAUGCUCCGGAUAUUGGAAUCAAUCAUGGCAUAGCAUUUUGCCCCCUCUACUAAAAAAAAAUGAACCAAUCAGUCCAUUACAUUAGAUAAAAGAGUAAACUAAUCCUUCUGUUAAAAAUUCUAUCCAUUUUUACUGUUAAAAACCUAUCCUUGCAUAUCAAUAUACGUGACAUGUCAUGCGUAAUUGUCUAGUUAUUAGAAAUGGAUUAAAUUUUUAACAAAAAAAACCAAUUUGCUCUUUUAUCUAACAUUUUUGAGUAAAGGGCGCAAAAUACAAUCUAACUCCUAAUACAGGGCCUCUGUGGUACUUUUACCAUAUGAUGGCCUCCUUUAUAAAUUCAAUUUCAAGGAACAUAUGAAAUGCAUUCUUCUCAUAUUUCUUCUAUCAUUAUUGUGCAAGUUAUCUCAUCAGAAAGGAAUGAUAUCUAUUGAUGUAACCUAGU
Molecule: long non-coding RNA, 59681 nt
Filed under: Gossypium barbadense (sea-island cotton)
Lineage: Eukaryota; Viridiplantae; Streptophyta; Magnoliopsida; Malvales; Malvaceae
Description: long non-coding RNA (GBAR_LNC018237)
Rfam family: MIR7502 microRNA precursor family (bases 19074-19218)
Source: RNAcentral